UUUUAUUUAUUAUUGUGUCAAAUUACAUGAAGAUAGGAAAGAAAGAUAGAAAAGGAAACACAAAUAUCAGACUUGUUACAUCAGGAAAGGAAUCAGGCUUCCAAUCCUAAUGUUACAUUAAAGAGACAGAAGCAAACUUUGGCAAUGGAAGCCUUAUUCGUAACAUAUUAUGAGACCAUGUUUUGUGAUGAAACUAAGGUGGUUGAUGAUGAUGGUGAACAUGAGAGUGAAGCCUUCUUUAGUUGACAGGCAAAAUUCCUCUAAGACAAGGCCAACCAUCAAGGAUAGGCUUAAUAUAACCCAGAAUAACGUCUUCAGUUGCAUGUGGGGUGAAUUUGAUACGCACAUACUCCUCUCCUUUGAAAAGGUAAGCUUCAGACUCGUCAUGGGAAGCAAAAGACGCAUCAAUUCCACUUUCAAAGAUAGUACCUUUCAAAACAGGAAACCCAUCAGCGAUGUUACGAAUGUUGCCAAGAAGCUCUUUGGAAUCGUAAUCUAUGCGAGUAUACUUAUUGCCUUUGAAUAAGUAAACUUCUUUUCCUUUGGUUGACCUGAAUGCAGAGUCUAUGCCAUUCUCAAACACUGUGCUUUUGAGGACAGGAAACAUUUCAGCAAUUGUGGUAGGACCUAAGAGAAUCUUGUCAUUUGUUGUAGCUGGAGCAUAGUCUAUGUAAGCACAGUAUUUGUUUGAGAACACAUAUGCUUCACUUGCUUCAGUGUCAAAGGAACAGUCAAUUCCAGGUUCUGCAAAGACUGUUGCUGCAAGUGAUGGAAAACCACUACUAAUCAAACGCAGAUUAGUCAAAAUCUCAUCAUCUGUUCUUCCGGGAAUGUACUGCACCCGCACAUACUUAUUCUUUAUGAAGAAAUAGACUUCAUAUUCUCUUGAUGAACGGAAUGCAGCAUUGAUGUAAGCCAUCUUUCUUAACACAAGAGAGAGAUAUAUGAUUUGAUUUGAGGAUGCUUACAUUCCUAUGAAAGACACCUAUUUAUAGUAUUUUUUCCUGUUUGUUUUGGAAAUCCCUUGAAGUAAAGCAUGUAAGAAGUAUGAUCUAACAAACCUUCCUUUAUAGAUGCAACAUGUCCUUUCUGUUGGCAUCAUCUGUUUUUUUUUUUAUUACAUAUUAUUCUAAUAUUAAAUGGAAAACUUGUUUAUUAUUUGCAUUGGAAACUACCAUUAACAUUACAAUUAAUUUUUUUAUAAAAAUAACCUUUUCAAAAUAGAUUUUAAAUUGUCUUUUCGAUUUAUUUAAUGUAAGAAAUAUUGGAAAAUAAGAUUUGAAUAGAGUAGUAACACAAAAAUUAUAUGUCUUAUAUAUAUAAAAAUAAUUAUAUUCAAGUAUAAUUUCUAUAAAAAAAAUUAUAUGUCUUACAUAAUUAAAAAAUUGUGUAAACCAAAUAAAAAUUUCUAUUAUAUAUUAUUAUAGGUAACACAAAUAAACCUUGUGCUGUAUGUGAUUCGAUACACUCAAUAAUGGUCACGAAACGUUGUUUUGAUAAUAAGGUUAAAUAUGUUUUUAUUACAUAAAUGUGUGUUUUAAUUUUAUUUUAUAAUUUGUUUUAUUCUUUUAAAAUCACCAACGUUGUUUUUAUUUUAUUCUUAGUAUUAUGUGAAACAUAUAAUUUUUUUUUUCCAAUCCUUUUUAAAUUAAAAAUAUUACUUUUAAUCUUAGCAUUUUAUGACAUCCCACUAAUAAUUAAUGGGCUAAAUUAAAAGCCAAGUGAUAACAAUUUGAAGUAAAAUACCUAUUACGAAGUAAAUACCUUAUAAUAGAAUGUCAAUAAAAUAUACGUUUGAAUAAAUAAAUAAAUAAAUAAUGUACAUUUUACAGAUCUUAAAUAUUUUUAACAAAACUUUUUAAAAGUUAACAGAAUAAAUUCAGCACAAAAAAUAAGUUAAAUAAAUGAAUAAAAAUAGAAUUUAAUAUGUAUAAAAAUGGUUUAAAUAUAUGCUUUAGUUUUUUUUUUUAAGUUUCUUCUCGGUCUUCAACAUAUAUAGUGUCUUAGAAAAGUUGUAGGAAGGGGAGAUUUCAUAAGUUUUGCGCUAGUGCAAAGACACUCUUAAAGAACAUUUAUAGACAAUGGUGACAAUUUUAAAAAUACAUUCAACAACCUAAAAGUCCCAAAUUGCUGAAACCUCACUCACUCAAAUUACGGUGCAUUUCCGUCUCCUUCAUGCAUUUAUGUUAUUAUCAUGGUUGUCAGCGAUAUCGCUUCUGUUCAAGAUCGUGUUUAGAGAUAUCAUUACUAUUUAUAAUAGCCGUUGUCUUCGUGUUCGCCUCUUGCAGUCGUUGUUCCUACUUGUCGUCGUUGCAUCCCCUGCUAUUCUGCUCGUCGUCAUCAACCGAGCUCAGAUCACUACCAUCUACCACCGUUCACCUUCAACGACACCACUGUAACGGCAUGCAUCUUCAUGGACCUUUGACGCAGCUUCACUAAGGACGAUUUUAAGGUGCUGGUUUUGAGGAAAUUUCUCAUAGAAUAGGUUUUAAGUAGAAAAGAAAAGAGAUUAGGGUUUAAGCAGAAAAGGAAAGUGGGAGCGUCUGCCCCACUAAACCUUUAAGUGUUGUGUUAUCUGAUAGUUUUUUACUACAAUAAUCUCUAUGUUGGCCAAACCUACUUGGAUCAUUAAAAGUGUUGGUCAAUCUUGCAUUUCUCCAACCAACCUAUGAUAUUUCAAAAAUAUUUUAUUACAAUGCGUCCAACGCAACAAAUAUAUUUCAUUUUUUUUUCUUUUCUUCGACUUUGUGCCUAUUGGAGGGGAGUUUAAUUUUUUAAAUCUCUUUUUUGGGUUUGACUGACAAUAAUAGCUUCCAUUUUUAGGUCAGCGCAAAAUUGUGAAGUUAAUUUGUAUUUUUCUUGUAGUGUCAUACUUUGAAGAAAAUGUGAGAUUUUACGUGCAUUUAAUCACCACAUAAUGUUCAUGAUGAUUACAAACUUUUAGAUAUGGAUCGAAAUUGAACUAAUUCACCACACAUAAAUAAUGAAUAUGAGAGAGGAUUAAAAGAAUUUAUACAAUUUAUGCAACGUAAUGUUAAUAAUAUACUGAUGAAGUAAAGUUUAAGUGUCGAUACGUUAAUCGUUUGAAUCUAACUAGACUCUAACUAUGAAUCAACCUAUCUAUAAAAACAUAAUUCCAUUUCUGACAUAAAACUUUAAAGCCAUGAAUGUGGACCUCCUCACUCUACACUUAUUCCUCUAAAUCUCUCAUUUUAAUACAAUAUGAUAUAUACAUGUCAAGUAUGAUUUCAGUUAACAAUAUUUUACAAAUACUAUUUUUCUCAUGUACGAUUUAAACAUAAUUAUUAAUUAAAAUCGUAUGCGUCGUCGGUUUAGCUGGUACUCGUAUCUUGCAUGUACGAUUUUUUUAAAUUUCAAAAACUGUGAACAUGGAUAACCAUAUUUUUAGAAUUAUGUCGUACUCGAUAAACACGAUUUACUCAACUCUGAAAAAAAAAUUGUCCAUUUCAAAAAAUAUGAAAUCAAAUUACAUAAUUUUAGGAAAUAAGCCUAUUUUUUUUCUUCUUUAUAUCAUUUACUUGCCUUACGUAUCAUAGCCUUUAAAAAAAUACACGGGAAUCAAAUCAACCUAUAAACAUCUCUGUAAAUUUUUCAAAGAAAAAAAAAUUAGAAUCAUUUAUUCAACCAAAAAGCACACUUUUAUUAUUAAACCAUUAGCAUUACAUGAAGAAAGGAAAACAAAUAUCCACAUACACGAGAGUAAACACAAACAUCCACACUUAUUACAUUAGGAAAGAAAAGGAAACAAACUUUGGCAAUGGAAGCCUUAUUUUUAUCAUAUUAUGGCAUCUUGUUCUUUUUUUUUCAAAGCUCAUCAUGUUGUUCAGGGUAGGAUGGUUCAUGAUGAGUGUGAGGAUGAGAAUCAACUCCUUUAUUGUCGAGAGGCAGAAUGCCUCUAAGAAUUGGCCAACCAUUAAGGAUGAGCUUCACAACAUCCACAAGAGUGUCACCUGUAGUACCUGGGGUGAAAUUGAUCCGUACAUAGUUUUCUCCCUUGUAAAGAUAAGCUUGGUUCUCCUUAUGAGAAGCGAAACACGCAUCAAUUCCAUUUUCAAAGAUGGUACCUUUCAAAAUUGGAAAUCCAUCCGUGAUAUUACGAAUGGUGCCAAUAAGUUGCUUGGAAUCAUAGGCUAUGCGACCAUACUUAUUGCCCUUGAAUAAGUAAACUUCUUUUCCUCUGGUUGACCUGAAUGCAGAGUCUAUGCCAUUUUCAAACACCGUGUUUUUCAGGACGGAAAACAUUUUAGCAAUUGUGGUAGGACCUGAGAGAAUCUUGUCAUUCAUUGUACCUGGAGCAUAGUCUAUGUAGGCACAAAGUUUGGUACAAAAAAUAUAUGCUUCGUUGCCUUCAGUGUUGAAGGCACAAUCUAUUCCAUAUUCUCCAAAUGGCGUAUCCUCAAGUGAUGGAUAACCAUCACAAAUCCAACGCAAAUCAGUUAAAAUCUUAUCAUCUGUUUUUUCGGGAGUGUAAUACACCCGCACAUACUUAUUUUUUAAGAAAAAAUAAACUUCAUAUGCUCUCGAUGAACGAAAUGUAGAAUUUAUAUAACUUGGUAUCUCUAGAACUGAACUAGUAUACCACUCAAGAGCAACAUCCCGUCAGCAUUCAAGGCCUCUCUUUUCUCUCUCCUAGGCGGAUAAGUUUCUUCGGGUAGGUCUCUUCUUACACCAUUAUCAUCUGUGUAGUAGUACACCGGAAUAUAAAUUGUUAGUGCAAAGUAAGGAUGUGAGAUUGGAUUAAAAUUCCUGUUUAUUAUCAAUCUUGUUUCUCUAUGUUAUACGUGGAUACCUGCAUCAUAAUAUAAUAGUUUAUAGUUAGUAAUUGAUGAUAUGAGGGGAUUAUAAAAAUAAUAUAGCAUGAGAUGUAAUCCAACCUUGAUCCGACUUCACGUGUUGCUGUGAAUAUGAGACAAGAUCGAAUGUACUGAGGUGCAAUGCCUCCAACAUAGCAAACUUCAUCUUGAGAAAUGUAUGUGUAUCGAUUCCAAAGGGUCAUACCAACCCAAAUACCACCAGGAGCAUAAAUUUCAUAACGAUAAAAUUGAAUCCGAGAACCUUCUGGGAGGACUCGGGGGGAAGGAUUUGGUCGCCAAGCAUUGUUGAGAGUGGUACUCACAAAGACAUGUCUUGAAGUUGAAGGUCGAGCUGGAUCAAGAGGAGCACCUGCCUGUUCAAUGAAGUUAAGCAAAUUAUAAUAAGUGGAGUUGGGAAUUUGACCCUGAGACCAUGCUUGGAAGCCAUUUGCAAAGAUCUCCUGGUAGGGCCUUGUGUCCCAAUGAUGCACAGGCGCACGGAUAUCAUAAUUUUCGUCGGCCGUUCUGUAUGUAAUUUCUGUCAAGUUUCCUUCCACAACAUUCACACGGUUGAUAUUAUCCAUCAAAUUUCGACCUCUAUCAAAAUCUCCUUCUCCCAGAGGCUGUGGAAAUUUUGAUGAACAACCUCUGGAUGGAUCAUUUGGUGGAGGGAUAGACAUUUUCUUAACAAAGCUUAGAAAAGGAUGGAUAAGGUAUAGAUAGAUAGAGAUAUAUGAGUUGAUUUGAUGGUUAGAUUCCUAAGAGAUGCACCUAUUUAUAGUAUUAUGGAGUGGGAAGUUCUUACCUUUGUUUCAACGUAAAGCAAUUGAUAAAUGUGAUCUAACAAGUAAAACCUAACCAGCCUUACAUAUUAUUCUAAUACUAAUGGCAAAGGUUUUAAAAUGUUUUGAUGUUUUAAAUGGUUGUUGAGAGUGUGGCACUUGAGGAUAAGAACGGUUUGUCAUCACAUAAACAAAUGUUAUGAGCUUGCUGGGUUCCAAUAUUAUGUCAGUUCCAAUACAUUAAUACAGAGAUUACUGUGUUAUUUAAACCGUCUGCUGAUGAAGAAAUCACAGAAAUACAUUAAUAUUAUCUCAUUUAGUAUAAAUGUAUUUUUAUUCUUUUCAAAUUUAAUAUUAAACCAACUCAAACACUUUAUAUAGUAAAAGAAAUAAAAUUUAAAAUAAAUUUAUGUAUUACUCGUUAAAAAAAUUAAAAUUCAUGUUGUUUUAUAAUCUAUUAGCAUCCCAUAUUGAGUCACACUUUAAUUUGGAAACUACUUUUUCAUUUUCAUGUAAUAUCAAUAAGUUGCUACAUUCACAAUAUCAUAACAUAUUUUAGUUUGUAAUAUAUAUAUAUAUAUAUAUAUAUAUAUAUAUAUAUAUAUAUAUAUAAUAAUANNNNNNNNNNNNNNNNNNNNNNNNNNNNNNNNNNNNNNNNNNNNNNNNNNNNNNNNNNNNNNNNNNNNNNNNNNNNNNNNNNNNNNNNNNNNNNNNNNNNCGUGUCGUCGUCGUCGAGUCUACAGUAGUUAGUAUAUAUAUAUAUAUAUAUAUAUAUAUAUAUAUAUAUUCUAUAUUAUAAUAUAAAAAUUUAGAUAAAGAAUAUUAAUACUUUUAUUUCAAGUUCAAAGUUUAAAUAAUUUUAAAUCAAAACAUUGGAGUUGAAUUCAUUGUUCAUAUUGUAUAAGUUCUAAUUAGUUUUCUGAAUUUUAACUAAUAUAUAUUAUCUAAUUUUUAGAGUUGGUAUAUUUUUCAAUUGAUUUUAACUAUCAGAAGUAGAUAUCAUCAUAGUUUUAUUUUUUUCUUACUAAAUUUUUUCACAGUUUUAUUGUAUAUAUUUGCUAAUCAUUAAUAGGUCUUCUAGAUAAAUUACAUUACUCUUAUUAGACAACAUCAGUUGUUCUUGUAAUCAUUGUAAUCAUGCUUGAAGGAAACUAAAGAGGAUGGCAAUGUAAGGUUAUAAGCAGGAUGAUAGAGAAGUUACUCUUUUUUUUUUUAUCUUAAACUGAUACGUUAAGGAUGUUCGAACACUUUUAUAAGCCUAAAUACAAGAAUUGUGUCAAAAAAAAAUCUUUUAAUGCAGUUUAAAUAUGGCUCAACUAGCUGUAAAAAAUUAAGCAAUACAUUUCUUCAAGAUUAAGCUCAUAAAGUUACCUAUUGCUCGAAAAACUAUUUUUUUUAUCUGCAAUAAAAUAAAUAAUAAAUAGAUAUGUAUCACUUUAAAGAUGAGUCAACCCUUAUACAAAAUAAAUAAAAGAUAAUAAACUCUUAUUUCUUAACUUAAACCAAUCUUUCAACAAAAACUGUCAACUAAUCCAAAAUCCAAUAAUAUCGUCUAGUCAUUUUUAACAAUCGUCAGAAUAUACAAACACAUUGUUUGAAGGACAUAAUUUGGAUUGAGAAUAAAAAGGUUGAGAAGUGAUCAUUUGGUGUGAAAGGAUAAAAAAUAUAAAGAUCCCCUCAUUCUAUUUGUUAGAGAAAUAUUGGAUUUGAGUUUUAAGCUUAGCAUUUCUUUGCUUUAAACCUAUAAUUCAUAUAUAUGUAUAUACUAUUUUUUUUUUUUUACAAAAUAUUAUGUGUAAAAUUAAAAAAAAAAUUAAAAAUGGAGAUUAGCUCUCUAACACAUAAAUGGAGAAUUUGUUUAGAUAGUAGGGUAAAUUCGCAUGGCAAUAAAAAAAAACCUCAAAACACUCUUCUACGAACCAUGGUUAUAUAUAAUUUAAUCAAUAUAGUUUCUAAUUAUUAUUUUUUUCUCUAAAUCCAAUCACUAAUGAUUUUUUUUAAGUAAUUAUCUAAUUAAUCGAUAUUAAGAUGAGAUGAUACAAAUAUUUUUAAGAAAAUAAAGAAGUUGUCAUCAUACUUAAAGAAAAUUAUGAAAAUAAAAUAUAAAAAAAAUACACUAUCUUUAAAAUUAAAUUUGGGUCCUAAUAAAAUAAGUUAUUCAUACAAAGUAUAUUAGCGUCAUAAAAUUUGUCCUAAAACAAUUAUCUUUAACUAGAUUUAGAAAAUUAAAUUAUUUUUAAAAUGUUUAUUUUUACCUAAAAAAAACAAAAACAAAGUAUUUAUUUAUUAUUUACACCAGAGAAAUAUUAUCAAUUACUUACAGAAUUAUAGUGUCGAUUGCAUAACCAACACAAAUGUCACUUAAGUCUAUUUUAACUUUAAACUAGAAUAAAAUUAUUUAAUAUCACUAAAGUUAAUCAAUUAAGUUGAAAUGUAUUAUUUAAUUUUAAAAUUUAAUAAAAGUUAGUGUGAAUUAAGUUGAUGUUAGUCUAACUUAUUUUUAACACUUAUUUAAGUAGUGCUGUUUAGGUCAACACUAAUGUAGUUUAUUUUAAUGCUUAUUAGAACUAGUUGGCCUAGUCAAUUCUAAUUUCAUUUUAUUUUAAUACUUAUAUUUUUAUAAUCAGUUCUGGAUUAGUUGACACUAAACUAAUUUAUUUUUAAUAUUUAUUUAACUAUGUCAAUACUAAUAUAAUCUAUUUUUAAUAGUUAUUAAAUUUAGUAUUAGUCUAGUCAAUAUACUACCAUAAGUUAAUUCCACGUUAAUAUUAUUUAUUGUUAAUAUUUAUUUAUUGUUAAUUUAAAACAAGUUUAGGUGAAUAUCUGCACAUGUAAAGAACCUCAAACAGGCUGCAUAUAAACAACCUCAAACAUUAAAUAUUAUUGAGACUCUACACAAAAUACUUUUAUAAUUAAUACUAAGUGGUUCCUGAUGUGGAUGAAAGUCAACUUUUCAUUAACUAACACACAAAAUGCCUUUAACAACUUUUAGAAAGUUUAUUACUAAACAAUUAUUAAAUAAAAAUUAAUUUUUAGAAAAUAAUAACUAAUUUUUUAUUAAUUAAAUUAGAAACUAUUCAAAACACUAAAAAUUUAUUUAUAUAUUUUUAAAUUUAUAAACUAGUUUAUAAAUUGGUAUCUAAUUAGCUAUUAAAGUUUUAUUUAUCAAUUAUUUUAGAUACUAAUUUAGAAACUAAUUUACAUAUCAAUAAUUUUUUAAUAUUUAAAAUAGUUUAUAAUUUAGUUAAUAUAGUAACUAGUUAUUUUUUGUCUUAAAAUUAAUUUUUAUGAUUUUUUUUUAUGAUAUCAAUACUUAUUUUAGUCUAUUUUUUUUUUAAAUUGAUCUCUAUUUAAGGAUAUUCUUUUCUAAUAGUGUAGAAAAUAAUAAAAUUUCCAAACUUAAUAUUUUUCCCGUAAAAGAAGAUUGAGUGCUUUGAAUGUUAUUUUUUAUCAACAAAAAAGAAUAAAUAAAUAUGACUCACUUAAGAGUAGAUGAUUCAACCCUUAUACAGAUAAAGACUAACACUCCUCUCUCCAACCAUAAGAAACCCCUCACUACCAACAUUAAUAGAAUAAAAAUUCUGUCAUGUCCAGCUGUCACUAAAGCUAACUCCCCACUAAACACCUCACACCGUCCUUUUAAUCGAAAUCAUAUAUACUUUUGGUUUUAAGCAUCAAUCUAUGAAGGAAAAACUCGUUAAAGACGUCUUUGAAGAGAUUCAAGACUAAAUCUUUAAGCAAAUAAUUACUUUUAUGUUUCCAAAUCACCGCUAAAACAGCGAAAGGUUAUUUGUUGAAUGAAUUUUUUUUUAUCAACAAAAAAUUAAAUUAAAUUAACAGAAACACUUUAGAAGUGUCACACUCCUUUAACCAACACAAACAAAGAUAAGCAGCUCAAGUAAUUGAAUUGCACCUUGCUGCAGAAUUAUGCAGCAUAACUGCAAAAGAUGAGCACCUGAACUGCAUAAAACUGCAGCAAUUCUGCACCUCCCUUUCUUAUAUGUGCCUUUGAUCAAAGGAGCUACAUGAUUACCUAUAUACCUUACACAAUCCAGCUAAAGAUGCUGCAUAAAAAACAGCUCCUCACACCUUGGCCAUUUGUUGAAUGUAAUGCAAGAAAAGGAAGGAAAAAGUUGAGAAUCUGGAAUCGGAAUGCAGACUGUGCAGUUCUAAUGCAAAGUCUUGCUCCUCUGCGGCAGCAGAAAUUUUGUUCCAAUGGUUUCCUUAUUGGACCUCGAUCAACAUUUGAAUCUAGGACAAAACUAUGCAGAAUCAGGUGCAACAGACAAGAUAAGGCUGUACAGUUGUAGGAACAAGGUUAAUAGGUAAUUUUGGAAUAAGCAGGAUAAGGCUUUCUUUUGCUAUAUGUUCUCUUAGUCUUGGUCUUAACCAAUUUGGUAGCUGUUUUUUAUUUCUGGAAUAGUUUGAUACCUUUGAAGUGUCUUUUUAAUUCAUUUAUUCUUUGUUGAAAAAAAGAUUCCUCCAAUCCAGAUAUUACCCAUUAUAAGAUUAACAAACAUAGGCACAUCAAUAAAAAUGAACUGCAAGAAAUGUAAGACAGGCAUAAGAUGAUUUACCGAUCUCACUCUUAAUCACUUGUAGCAAAGAUUCCAAACUAGCUAGCUAGGAUACCCUGUACCGAAAAAACAAAUGACUAGUCAGACUCCUCUGAAAUCUCCACACAAACAACAAAGGUUGCUCUCGAUAAAAAAAUCAUGUCUCUCCAAGUUACCCUAGUAGCUUAAAGAUUAACAUUACAAGAUGUUUUAAAUUUUUUGAACACAGUACUAUUCAUAAAACAUGAAUGAAUGAUCACAUUAAUCCCUAAAAAGAAGAGUGGUUGAAAGGAGGUGAUGUAUGUAUAAUUUGGGGAAGCUAAUAUUGAUGUAAUUUAUUUAUUUAUUUAACUAAGUUUAGAAAAAAAAAACAAUUAGUGAAGUUUAAUAGGUUAUUUCAAGUUUAAAUUCUGAAUAGGAAUUUGUGUUACAUAUUUAGAAAGAGAGUUUAUGAUUCAUAUUGAUUUUAUUCAAUUCAAUCACAAUUAUCUUUCAUAAAUUACGGGUCUAGGGAAUAAAGUCAAGCAUUUUGUUAGUUGCUGGUUAAGUUUUUAUGCAGGUUGUGCUCAAGAACCCUAGACCACCAUAUUUACAGGACUGCUAUGUGCUUUUGAUUUUUUUCGGUCGUCUUGCUGUUUUAUUCAAUUUUGAUGUUUGUAAUACUCAUCUAAUUUUGUAAUUUAGAUGGUGAAGUUUUUUUUAUUUGUAUAAUAAGAGUUAAAAAACUUUUAAAAUGUUUAUUUUUAAUUCAUUGAUUAAUUAUUUGUUGAUAAUAAAAAUCUUUCAUAAAUUGUGGUUUUGAGAAACAUAAUUGUACAUCACAAAAACCCUAGUUUAUUUAUUUGAACAUUUUUUUUAUCAGCAAUAAAAAAUAAAUAAAUGGGAACCACUUCAGGGGUGGUCCAACCCUUAUACAUAAAUAGCUAUCGCCUUACCAACCUCCAACUAAGGAACACCUUCCAACUAAAUAAGGAACAACCAAAGCAACUCAAGAAAGCAUUAAACAACCAGCCUCAUACAAUCCACUGGGUACAAAACCCAGUUGGAAUACGUAAAGGAAUUACAACAUAACUUUGCAAAAAUCCAAGACCAAACAUUUACCUGAACUAGUGCAAAUACCUCGAGCGCAUCUACCACGCCCCUGUCGAAGGUCACCGAGUUCCUAUGUCUCCAAAUUCCACUCACAACACCAACCCAAAUCGCCCCCCAAACGUCAUUAACCACAUCAGAAGCCGAACACAACCUGAAUUGUUGGAAGUUUACCAAAGGGUCCUUGUGAAAAACAAACGACACUCCAAGCCACUCAAAACAAAGACACCACACCCGCCAGGUAAACUCGCAGACAAAAAACAUUUUAAACAUCAAAAGUCACAGUAUAUGAUUAUUGAGUCUUCCCGAGUUGUAACAAAUAUUAGACGCAUUUAUACUAAAAUUAAGUCGUAAAAAUAAUAUUUAUGGAAUUAGUAGAGUAAAUAUGAUUGUACUAAACCAAACCAGAACAGUUUUAUUUAUUAUUAAGAUUACGAACAUAGGAGAGAAAAAGAUUGACUUGAAGGAAAGGAAACAGAAACAUGCAGAGUUGUUACAUUAGGAAAUGAAAGAAGCAUCGAAUCUUAAUGUUACAUUAAAGAGAAAGAAACGAACUUUGACAAUAGCAGCCUUAUUUGUAGCAUUUAUGAGAUGAGAGUGAAGCCUUCUUUAGCUGACAGGAAGAAUGCCUCUAAGACAUGUCCAAGCAUCAAGGAUAGGCCUCACUCCACCUAAAAGAGUGUCAUUACUUGAACCUGGAGUGAAUUUGAUCCACACAUACUUAUCUCCUUUGAAAAGAUAAGCUUCAGAAUUCUCAUGGCAAGCAAAACACGCAUCAAUUCCACUUUCGAAGAUCGUACCUUUCAGAAUAGUAAACCCAUCAGCGAUGUUACGAAUGCUGCCAAUAAGCUGUUUGGAAUCAUAGUCUAUGCGAGUAUACUUAUUGCCCUUGAACAAGUAAACCUCUUUUCCUCUGGUUGACCUGAAUGCAGAGUCUAUGCCAUUCUCAAACACUGUGUUUUUGAGAACGGGAAACAUCUUAGCAAUUGUGGUAGGACCUGAGAGAAUCUUGUCAUUUGAUGAACCUGGAGCAUAGUCUAUGUAGGCACAGUAUUUGGUUGAGAACACAUAUGCUUCACUCGCUUCAGUGUCAAAGGCACAGUCAAUUCCAGGUUCUGCAAAGAACGUUGCUUCAAGUGCUGGAAAAUUAGUACUAAUCAAGCAUAGAUUAGUCAAAAUCGUAUCAUUUGAACUUCCUGGAGUGUAAUGCAGUCGCACAUACUUAUUCUUCAUGAAGAAAUACACUUCAUUUUUUCUUGAUGAACGAAUUGCAGCAUUGAUGUAAGCCAUUUUUCUUCACACAAGAAAUAGAAAUAGAGGAUAUAAGAGAGAGAUAUGAGUUGAUUUGAGGAUGGUUAGAUUCAUAUUAGAGACACCUAUUUAUAGUGUUAUGAGAAACUACCAUGAAUAGACUGAUUUCUGAAUGUGCCAUUUUGUGAUCACAUAAACAAAUGUUUAUGAGCUUGGUGGGGUUCUACACUAAUAAAUGCUAUAGGUUUUAUCUGUAACCGUCCCACAUGAAAAAGUCUAUGUAUAUGGGUUGGUCUAUUCUUAAAUAAAUCAUAUAUUUAUAUUUAUUAUUAUUUUUUGAUAAAAAAAAACUUAUUUCUAAUUAAUUAAUAGAUUAUUGUGUUAUUUAAACCCUGUGCUGUUUACCUCAUCACAUAAACUCAACAAGUUUUUCAUAUCAUAGGAUAUUUUAAUUUACAAUAUAUAAAUAUAUGUUAAUUUAAAAGAUGAGUGUUUAAAUAGGUUUGAUAGGUUAUAAAAUUAUAGAAGAGAUUGGUACACGUAAACUCAAUAAACAACUCAACUAUGUGCUCAUUCAAUAUGAUAUGUUAAUCAGUAACGUGUAAUAAUUUAUGCAAGAUAAUAUUAUAUAUAAAACUAUUCAAAGAAAUAAUCUAAUUAAUAUGUGUUUUUAGGAGACAAAGUGUAUAUUUUCCCGUGCUGUGCGUUUACAUUAGUUAUUAUUUUUAAUUUAUUAUUAUUAUUAAAAAAAUAAAUUAAAUAAAAAUAAAUUUUAGAGAUUAAAAUAAUUAAUUAAUAUUUUCACUAAUAUAGUAAUUUUCUAAUUGGCAUGUGCAUCUUUUAUAAAUUAUGCAUAAGAACAUUUUGUAUCCUAUAGCAUAUUUGCAUAAAUGUCUUCAAAGUAUUUACGAUAUUUGCAUAAUUAAUAUUUACGAUAUUAAUUAAUAUUUUGGUAGUUAAAAACAACUAGAAUAAAGUAUAGAUAAAAAAUUAAAACUACGAUGACAAUGGGUUGUAUGGGUAGUUGACAACUAUCUGUUUACAAAUAAAUACAAUUAUUACAAUCAAGAUAUUUUUUAAUUGUUUUAUAUAUUUAUUAUAAAAAAAAUUAUUAAAUAAAAACUAAAUUUAAAUACCAAAAUAAUUAAUUAAAUUAAAAACUAUUUUAUAAAUUAAAAAUUAUUUUAUAAAAUUAAAAAUUUAUUGAUAUUCAAAAUAAUUUCACUAUUAAUCAAAACUUAUAAAGUAGUUUAUAAGUUAGUAUAUAACCAUUAACUACCAAAAUUUUAACUACUAAAUAUUUUAUAUUCUAAAUUAGUCUCUAUUAAUACUUUAGAGAUUAAUUUAGAAUCUAAAAUAUUAAUAGUUAAAACAUGAGAACUAAUUUAGAUAUUAAUUUAAAAAUUAUUUUAUAUAUUUUUAUUAAUAAUAUAAAUCAUUUUGGAUAUUAAUAUUUUUUACUCUCUAAAUUUAAUUGUUAUUUAAUGAUUUUUUUAGUAAUUUAAUAACAAUUUUUUUUUUUACAAAAAAUUAUCAGAAAAUAUCAAUAACUCUCUAAAUAAUAGCAUAAAAAUGUAACAUUAUUAAAAUCGACCAAAUAAACUUUAACACGAACUAAAAGAUUAACUUUUUUUAAUAAAUGUAAAAUUAUUUUUAAAUAGUUUUAUAUUAUGUAAAGUGUGUAUCGGAUAAGUUGGUGCUUAGAGCCAACUUAACUAAUAAUGAGUUGACAUUAAUUUUUUAAAAACAAGUAAAAAUAUUUGUAUUUGUAUCAAAUUAACAUAGUAAACUAACUAACGUUGACUUGAAUUAAUAUUAAAACUAUCAAACACUAAAUUAAAUAAUUUAUAAAAUAAAAAAUAAGUCAAUUUAGUUGAAAAUAAUUGUUUUAAUUAAAAAUUAAUUAAAAAAUUAGUGUUAGUGUUUUCUUAACAUAUACUAUUUAAAGUAGUAAAAGUUGACACUAUUGAACUAACAUCGAUAUUUUAGAGUGGGUUACAUAUUCAAUACAAAUUUGAUACUAUUAACUAAUUAACCUUAACUUUUAGUUAUUAGAAUUGAUUUUUACAUAAGUUAAAUUUAUAUUUUCUUGUAGUUAUUUGGGUUAUAUACAUUAUUAUUUUUAUUGAAAUCAACUCUAUGUUUUGGGGUUUGAACUUUCACAAGAAUUAUAUUUUCUAAUUUGGUAUAGAGUGUGCUUACCUCCAACACAUUUUUUUAGUGAAUUCUGAACAUGGUGUCACCACUUUUGUAGGUGAAAUUCUGAUAUAAUAAUAAUACUUGCCAUUUUUCAAUGAAGAUCCUAAUUGGUUCAAAGUGUUCAUACUAUAUAAAUAAUCAAAUAUCAAUAUCCUAGACAUAUAGAACUACAUUCUAUACUCAAUAAACAACUCAAUUAUGUGCUCCUUGCGUUUACAUUAUAUAUUAUUUUUUAAUUUUUCGUGGAUCUCAACAAAACCUUAUUAAAGAAGGCAAAUCACAAGAUGGUCAAUUACUUUAAAUAUUAUUUACAUAAGAUAAUAAUUUUAUAAUUGAUAUAUUUUUUUAUGAUUAAGAAAAAAUAAAUAAAUGUGAAUCAUUUAAGGAUGACCAUGCCCUUAUAAAAAAAAUUCUUAAUUUUUUCUAAACAAAUCAAAAUUCUCCAACAGACACUUAAAAACACACCUAACAAAAUUCAGAAAAAUUCGGCUAUUGUGCUAACCACCUUAAAACAUUCAUAAAAAAUCAAUCUAUACAAACUAAAGAAUUGAGACACCAAUUAUAAAAAAAAAAAUUGAUGUAUUUUUUCUAUGGUAAAUUUUUUAAAAUGUCUUUAUUGUUAAUUAUAACAUUUAAUGAUAUUAAUUCAUCCUUUGGUAGUUAAAAACAGUCAGAAUAAAGAGUAUUCGUAAAAUUCACUGUUUAAAAGUAAAUAGAAUUAUUACAUCAAUCUAUUGCUUAAUUGUUUCUUAUAUUUAAGAACAUAAUUAUUGUUUUCUAAUUUUAACAUUUUUUUACUAAAAUUAUCAUAAUUCAUAUUAUAAGAAAAUAUUAAAUAUUAGUUUCUACAUAGUAACGUCACUUAAAAUGAAGUAUUAUUAAAAUCGACUAAGUCAAAUUUAACAUGUAAAAUAUAUAUUUUUUUAAAAUUAAAAGAAUAUAAAAUCAUUUUUAAAUAUAAUUUUAUAUCAUGUAAAGUGUAUAGAUCAAUCUCAUGUUGUUCAAAUAUAAUAAUAGGGUUGACUUAGUUAAUUUUGAGUUGAUCUUAAAUUCUUUUAACAAGUAAAAGUAUUUGUAUUAGUAUAAAAUUAAUAACAAAUUAACUAAUGUGAAAUUAAAUAAAUCUUAAAAAUAAAGUAAUAUUAAAAAUAGAUUUAGUAUCUACCUUUCCAUUUUUCAAGUCUAGAUUUAAUUUUUUAAAGCACAUCAUUCCAAAAAGGCUUACAUCUUAUGACACUCUCUACCGACAUACCCAAAUAUUUGAAAGGUGUUUUCAUCGCAUCACAAUUAAUAAUAGCAGCAAAACCUUUUAACUGCAAACAAAUCAAUCACCACUCCUUUACCGCUACUUCUCAAGAAAUUCACUUUUAAAUCAUAUACAAACUCAAAACAGCUUAAAAUAACCUUAAUGAUAAACACACUUUUAAUAUUUGCCUGACAGUAAAACAAUGUAUUAUCUGUAUAUUGGAGCAUAUUAACCCUGACAUUCUUGCUUCCAACUUCUAAACUCUCUAAAAAAUCGGUCUCGUCAGCUUUUCUAGAAACCUCAGCCAAUCCUUCGACCGUUAUAAGAAACAAAACAGGGCAAGAGGAUCACCUUGUCUCAAACGUUUCUAAUGAGAGAAUUCCUUAAUCAGAAUCCGAUUAACGAGAACAAAAACUGUAACAGAUUCUAGACCAACUUUAAUUUACAAAAUCCACUAUCACAAAAUCUCAAUCUGCAUAACAUGUAAUAAAUAAACUCACACUUCACAUAAUCAUAUGUUUUCUCAUAGUCCACCUUAAAAAAUACACAAGACUUCUUCUUCCUCUUUACUUCCUCUAGUACCUAUUUAUAUAUUUUCUACCCGACCUUCAAGGAAUCAGACAAAGUUAACUAAGAACACAUUUUAUAGUGUUUUACAUUUAACUAAAAGAAUCUAAGAAGAAAUAUGAGAUAAAUAUAGUAAAUAUAAAACCUCAAUUGUCCCACAAACAAUAUGCAAACUUUACAAUAACAUAAUAAAAUGAGAAUUCGAUGUUUUUCAAUACUAAAAAAAAUAUGAGAUUAAAAAUCAUUAAAAAUUAAAAAAAAAAUAACAACAUUGUAAAGUAGUUUUACAAUAUAUUUACUCAUAUAAUCAUGGUCGAAUCACCAUUAUAAACAUCUUUUAAAAGAAUAUAGUUUUGAAGUAUAUUUUGUUAUUUUUUAUAAAACUAUUUUUUUUCUCAAUUAAUCUUUGUUCAUCUAAUGCAGACUUUUACAGUACAUAUCAUAAAAAAAAUAACCAGUAGCAGCGUGGAUUCUUUUAUAUACAUAUAUAUAUAUAUAUAUAUAUAAAGUGCAAUAAAUUUCUUAAAAAUACAUGGUUAAGAUAAAAUUCUGUUUUGAACUUUCUAUUUCAAUUUUUUAUUAAUAUAAAGUAUACGCACAAAAUAAAAUAAUAAAUACCAUUAUAAAAUAAAAAAUAUAUUGAAAGAUAAAAGUUGGAAAUGUCUGAAUUCGAAAAUGAAAAGAAAUAGAAAGCACAGAAGAAAACGUGUUGAAAUUAAUAGCUUAUCCGAGGACCACACGUAUGAACAAGCACACUAAAAAAAUAAUGUUUGGGACCAUAGUUUAGUCCUCUAUGAAAAAUUUCAAAAUUGGUCCCAAACAAACACAACACGAAUAUAGUAUAUAUGAAAAAUCUGAAAAUAUACUCACAUGUGUAUUCUAGAAAUUACAUCAACAUACUUACUUGUAUUCUAAUUACAACAAUUAUGAUAUUAAUUAAUACUUUGAUAGUUAAAAACAAUCAUAUUAGUUCUACUUCAAGUUUACAGCAGGGCUUUAUUAUACAGGUUCUUAACAUUGAUUAGUGAGAUUUAGAGAUACAUAAAUAAUUGUUAAUUUAAAAGAGGUGUGGUUGAUGAAGUUUUUUCUUAAGGUUUGGUCAAUAAAUUUCUCGUUUUUUAACUGGUGUCUAGAACCUUUGGUAUGUAUGUAUUUGAUUUAAUGAUUUUUCUUUAGUUGGUAGUGUUGGGAAAGGCAGUAAGAAAUUUUUUUAUGAGAUUUAGAUGCGUAUGCAAAAAUGUACUUUUGUUUUUUCUUACUUUGUAGGAGAGUCGUAACACCCUUAAGUGGACCUAUUUAAUUUAAUUGUUUAUUACUGAUAAUUUUUAUUUUUUUUUGGUUUAUAUAUGCUUCGGAGGAGUUUGGAAGUUUAAAAUACACAUAUAUAUUCAACCAAACCACAAAGUUCUUAUUUAUAAUAUGAAAAUUGGAAAGACAUACAUUAGGAAAAGAAAAGAGACAUUCAAUCCUAAUGUUACAUAUUAAAGAGAAAGAAACAAACUUUGACAAUAGCAACCUUAUUUGUAGCAUAUUAUGAGACUAAGGUGGUUGAUGAGAGUGAACCUUUCUUUAGCUCACAGGCAAAAUGCCUUUAAGACUUGGCCAACCAUCAACUAUUGGCCUCACUUCACCCAUAAGUUUGUCAUCAUAUGUACCUGGACUGAAUUUGAUACGUGCAUACUUAUCUCCUUUGAAAAGGUAAGCUUCAGAUUCCUCAUGGGAAGCAAAACAUGCAUCAAUUCCACUUUCAAAGAUUGUAUUUUUCAAAAUAGGAAAUCCAUCACCGAUGUUACGAAUGGUGCCAACAAGCUGCUUGGAAUCAUAGUCUAUGCGAACAUACUUAUUUCCCUUGAAUAUGUAAACUUCUUUUCCUCUGGUUGACCUGAAUGCAGAGUCUAUGCCAUUCUCAAACACCGUGUUUUUGAGGACGGGAAACAUUUGAGCAAUUGUGGUAGGACCUGAGAGAAUCUUGUCAUUUGUUGUGCCUGGAGCAUAGUCUAUGUAGACACAGUAUUUGGUUGAGAACACAUAUGCUUUACUCUCUUCGGUGUCAAAGGAACAGUCUAUUCCAGGUUCUGCAAAGAACGAUGCUGUAAGUGAUGGAAAACCACUACUAAUCAAACGCAGAUUAGUCAAAAUCUUAUCAUCUGAUUUUCCUGGAGUGUAAUACAGCCGCACAUACUUAUCCUUCAUGAAGAAAUAGACUUCAUAGUCUUUUGAUGAACGAAAUGCAGCAUUGAUGUAAGCCAUCUUUCUUAACACAAGAGAGAGAUAUGAUUUGAUUUGAGGAUAUAUACUUACAUUCCUCCCAAAGGCACCUAUUUAUACUGUUAUGGAGUGUGAACUUCUUUACCAUUGGUGUUGGAAAGGAAAUCAUAAAGAAUCUUUUACAACAUAAAAAAUAAAAAAAAACGUUGGCAUUAUUGGUGCAACAUGUCCUCUCUGUUUUUUUAUUGGCAUGAAUAGACUUAUUUAUGCAUGUGCUGAAUCACAGAGUUAAUCAAGAAGAGGAUAUCAAAUAAAUAAAUUGAACUAAAAAAAUUGUUAAAACAAAAAAUGUUGUCUAUAUAGCAUUACAAAUGAUGAUUUUUACAAAAAUCGUCAUCUAUAAUGUAAUAUUUUUUUUCAACUAAUGAACAAGAUGACAGUUUGUGCAAAAACGUCAUUAAUUAUGAAAAAAUAAACGAUAAUUUUUAUUAAUAGCUUUAGCCUAUAGCAAAGUAAAAACUACCAUUUUAAUUAUCGUGUAAAUUAAAUUUUUAAGUAUUUUUUUUAUCAGUAAUGAAAAAUCAAUAAAUGGGAACCACUUCAGGGGUGGUCCAACCCUUUUACAAACUCACAUCCAAACCGCCGAAUAAAUAACCAACAAAACCAAGUGCUAAUUUAAAGAUAGUCAAUAAAUUUUUAAAUAAUAGACAACGGAUUGAAAAUAGUUGCUUUAAAACUCUAAAAAAAUUCAUCUAAACACUAUUGAUUGUAACUAAAAAUCACAAAUCUUCAUUUGAGAGGACUAUUAAGACAUAAAAGGACAUCUAAGUAAUAAGUUAUACGUUUGUUUCACAGUGCAAUCGUACAUAUUUCUUUUAGUCAUGGCAAAGAAAAAAAAUUACUUAUUAAGAUAUCUAUGUAGGAUUUUAAUUGAAUAAAAUGCAUGUAAAAUUGGAUUAUUUUACCUUUUUUUUCAUACAACCUAUUAGAAGUGAACUUUAAGCCUAACUCAAUUCUAUAAAAUCGAUUCAUAGUGAACUUUAAGCAUAACUCAAUUUCAUAAAAUCGACUCAUGAAAUGAAGUUUGCAUUCAUUUAUAUACAAUGAAAUGUUUUAUAAUUUCUAAAUUUCUAGUUGACGUGGCAUCUUUAACAAAAUCAGAUAAAUGAUUGAAAGUUGAUCCCAAACAUUCCACUACUUCACAUAUUUUUUCUAUCUUUUAGUGUUUUUUUUUCAUACAAACAUAUUUUUUCUAUCAUUUAGUGUUUUUUUUUCAUACAAACCAUAUUCGAGGGACCACACGUCACAAGAUAUGAAUUUCCAUCAACUUAACAUUAACUUUUAUAAAUAUAUGAUGUUGAUACAAACCAUAUGAAGGUGACAACUGUACCAAAAUUGAUUGCAGGUCCCAAACAAAUACAACACGUGAAAAAUACCAAUUGCAGUGUGGGUCUUAUUUUGUAAGAGUUUAUGGAUCACAUUUAUUUUUUUAUAAAAAAAUUAAUAACAAUGUAAAUUCUAUAUAUAUGUAUAGAAAUAAACUACAAUAAAUUUCUUAAAAAUACAUCUCGUUAAGAUAAAAUUCUGUUUUCAACUUUCUAUUUCAAUUUUUUAUUAAUAUAAAGUAUACACACAAAAUAAAAUAAUAAAUACCAUUAUAAAAUAAAAUAUUGAAAGAUAAAAGUUAGAAAUGUCUGAAUUCGAUAAUGAAAAAGAAAUAGAAAGCACAGAAGAAAACGUAUUGAAUUUAAUAACUUAUCCGAGGACCACACGUAUGAACAAGCACACUAAACGACAUGAAAAAAAAUAAUGUUUGGAACCAACGUUCGGUCCUCUAUGAAAAAUUAAAAAAAUUGGUCUCAAAAUUGGCCCGAAACAAACAACACGUGAAUAAAGUAUAUAUGAAAAAUCUGAAAACAUACUCACAUGUGUAUUCCAUAAAUUACAUCAACACAUUUACUAGUAUUCUAAAUUCUAAUUACAAACCUUUAUUGUAACACCCCAUAAUUUACAUAUAACUAUUACAAUAAAAGUUCUAACAGUUUUUAUAUAAAUUUGGAUUUUUUCAAAACAUUCCUAAUACAUGAUUAGGAUUUAUAGAAAUACAAAUAUUUACAUAUCCAGUUUAAAAGAACAUCUUAAUGUCCUCCAGAACCUUCAACACAUGUAUGGUCAUCUGCUCGUGUACGUCGUACAGUCAUCGUAGUUCAAACACAACAAGAAAAGCAAGGGUAAGCUAAUGAAAAGAAAUUUCAUAUCUUAUCUAAUUUAUUUAUUUUUUGCAAAAAGAACCAAUCAAACAAAUCAUUUAUAAAUAUUUCUUUAAAUGUUAUCAUAUAAAAUUUCAAUAUCAAUUUCAUCAUUCAUAUAGACCACACAUGGAUCUAUUUUCAAUCACAAUCAUUGGAUUUCAUUUCAAUCCUACUUCAUCUUCCCGGAAGACUCAUUAAGUAUGCCCCUACCAGAGACUAACACCUGACCCAAAGAUUACCAUCGAAUCCAAUAGAAAGGAUCAGGGUAAGUUCAAACAUCCAAUACCGAGUGUCUACAAUGGGACCCGGUGUGUAUGAACUCCCUCUCAGCUUCUCACCACCUAAUAUCUUAGUCUACAUGACUUAGAUCAUUAGUGAAGCCAGAGGAUCUCCGUUAAACAUAGGCUUUUCAUACUUAACGUACCAUCAAACAACAACUCAUACAUUAUCCCAAAUGUAUGACAUCAAUUUCAUACAAUUUACAUCAUUCGUAUAUAAUACAUAUCAUUCAAUCAGAACAUUUUAAAAAGUUAUACCAUUCAAGAACUUUUCCUACAUCAAAACAAUAUUUAACUUUCAAACUAUCAAACUAUGAUAUUUAUAAAGUUAAAAUAAUAUAUAAACAAACACACAAUAUAUAAACAAAUAACACCCCUGCAAGAGAAAUUCAAUAUUGGGACCACGUCCCUUCCGCAUUCAGAUUUUCUAUCCUAAGGUGCUAUUAAAAAUUAAAUUAAGCUUCCCUUACCUCAAUUGCUUGUUUUCCAAGCAACUUCAAGAAUUUUGUUCCCCACAGUCUUGAUAAACUUCAAGAUUUACGGGCCUAAUGCAAGUUAUCCAAACAGAACAAAAAUUCAGUAUAUAGUAGAAUAAGUUGAAAGGAUUAAACUUCUCAACUGACCCAACCAAGAUUGAUGACUAAAUCCUAAGAAAAAACAGAUAACAAAGGAUCUCUAGAGUAAAAAUGAACUUACUCUGUUUGAAAAUAAAUCUGAUCGGGUAGAAAUGUACCUUAACUCCUCAACUACAGCGUGGUACGAUCAGAUUCUAAAAUAGAUGAGGUAUGGAGUGAGAAAUUAAAAGAGAAGGUAGAAGGAAGAGAUGGAGGGAAAAAGAAGAAAGAAAAGAAUGGUUAGUGAAAGUGGGGGCAAAGUUCUGCUUCUUUAUCCUCUCUUUUUUUACGCUGUUACAUUUAUGAUAUUAAUUAAUACUCUGAUUGUUAAAAACAACCAAAAUAAAGUAUAGAUAAAAAAAAUUAAAACUUCCCACGAUAAUCGAGGAUCAUUCUUAAGAGUAUCUUAACUUGAAUCUUAGAACUAUAUUCAAUAUAUACACAAAAUUUUAUAUUUUUACUAACUUAAACAUCGAAAUAUUUUUCUACAAAAUGAGGUCUCUCAUUUUCUAAUGGUUGAAUUACUAUAACUUGAAAAGAACUCACUAAUGCUCCCGCCCUGAGUUGACGAACAUAAAUUAAAACAUACUUCACAUGUUACAUCAUCAACAGAUUUACUAGUAUUCUAUUUUAAACAUUUAUAAUAUUAAUUAAUACUCUGGUAGUUAAUUUGAAUUGAUAUAUUAACAUAAAAAUUCUUAUUUAUUAGAUUUUUUUAUAAUUUUAAUUUCAAAAUGUUAAUCUUUUACACUACAAUAAAACUAUUAAAUAACAACUAAUUUCAAAAAUAAAUAAACUAUUAUAUGAAUUAAGUUAAAUAUUAUCUUAUAAAUUAAGAUAUUCUAUUAUUGUAAAAAUUUAUAAACUAUAGUUUCUAAAUUGGUAUUUCACAUAAUUACCAAUAUUUAAUUAUUAACUACUUUAUAUUCUCAAUUAAUCUUUAUAAUAACUAAUAUAUUAUAUUAAUAUUAAUUUAAUUGACAUUAACUUAAAAAAAAAUCACAUCAAUUAAAUUAACAUUAAUUUUAUUUUUUAAUAUUUUUUUGAAUUAAUUUUAGUUAAUUCGUCAUAAAUUUAACAUUAAUACAAAUAUUUUAUUCAUUGAAAAAGAUAAAAUAAAAUAAUCUCAAUUCAUAAUUAACUUAAAAAAAACUGAAAUGUAACUUAAUAUGUAUCUCAAAAUUCUGAUAAAAAAAUUUAAUUCUAAGUUAACAGAUAUUUAUUUAGAGAAAAAUAAACUUACUUAAUUAAAGAUGGUGUAAACUUUUUGUAGCUUAUAUGCUUUGAAAUUAUUAUUUUUGUAGCUUAUAUGCUUUGAACAUUUUUCGGAUUUUUUUUCUUCCUGUUUAAAUGUAUUUCCCAUUGUACCAUCUUUUUAAGUUACUCUCUAAAUGUUUUAGUAAACUAGCUAUUUGAUCUUAAAAAAUUAAAAUUAAUAAAAAAUAUAGUUUAUAAGAUUAUUAGCUAAUUUAUUGAUGCAGACACAGUUUCCUCGUACAAACGUAAUAAAAAACAAACCUCAUACAAAUCAAAAAAUAUUGAAACACAGGUCUCAAAAAAGAGACUUAGAAGUAAUUGGCAUGCGUGUCUUUUAUAAAUUGAUGCUGCAUAUAACUCGAUUUUGUAUUUUUUGUUCAAUGGUGAUUUUCUUAAAAUGUCUUUGUUGUUAAUUAUAACAUUUAAUGAUAUUAAUUAAUACUUUGGUAGUUAAAAAAAGUCAGAAUAAAGAGCACUGAACUUAGUCAAAAAAAGAGAAAUUAAAACCGUAAAAUUCACUGUUUAAAAGUAAAUAUAAUUAUUACAUAAAGCUAUUGCUUAAUUGUUUCUUAUAUUUAAGAACAUAAUUCUUCUUUUCUAAUUUUAACAUUUUUUUACUAAAAUUAUCAUAAUUCAUAUUAUAAGAAAAUAUUAAAUAUUAGUUUCUACAUAGUAACGUCACUUAAAAUGUAGUAUUAUUAAAAUCGACUAAGUCAAAUUUAACAUGUAAAAGAUUAUUUUUUUAAAAUUAAAAGAAUGUAAAAUUAUUUUUAAAUGUAAUUAUAUAUCAUGUAAAGUGUAUACAUCAAUCUCAUGUUGUUCAAAUAUAAUAAUAGGGUUGACUUAGUUAAUUUUGAGUUGAUCUUAAAUUUUUUAACAAGGAAAAAUAUUUGUAUUAAUAUAAAAUUAAUAACAAAUUAACUAAUGUGAAAUUAAAUAAAUCUUAAAAAUAAAUUAAUAUUAAAAAUAGAUUUAGUAUCUAUCUUUCCAUUUUCCCAGUCUAGAUUUAAUUUUUUCAACCACACCAUCCCAAAAGGCUUUCCUCUUAUGACACUCUCUACUGGCAUACCAAAAUAUUUGAAAUGUGUUUUCAUCACAUCAAAAUUAAUAAUAGCAGCAAAAUCCUGAACUGCAAACAAAUCAAUCCCCACGCCACCAUUGCUACUUUUCAAUAAAUUCACCUUUAAAUCAGAUACCAACUAAAAACAUCUUAAAAUAACUUUAAUGAUAAACACUUUUAAUAUUCGCUUGACAAAAAAAAUAGUGUAUUAUCUGCAUAUUGAAGCAUAUUAACAUUGACCUUCUUGCUCCAAACCUCUAAACUCUCUAAAAAAAAACAGUCUCGUCAACUUUUCUAGAAACCUCAACCAAUCCUUCAACCGCUAUAAGAAACAAAAACAAGGCAAGAGGAUCAUCUUGUCUCAAACGUUUCAAAUGAGAGAAUUCCUUAGUCGGACUCAUUAACAAGAAUAAAAACUUUAGUAGAUUCCAGACAAACUUUAAUCCACAAAAUACCAAUCUUCCUAACAUGUAAUAAAUAAACUCCCACUUCAUAUAAUCAUAUGUCUCCUCACAGUCCAUCUUAAAAAAUACACAAGACUUCUUCUUCCUCUUUACUUCCUCUAUUACCUAUUUAUAUCUUUCUACCCCGACCUUUAAGGAAUCAGAUAGAGUUAACUAAGAACACCUUUUGCAGUGAUUUACAUUUAACUUAUAGAGUCUAAGAAGAAAUAUGAAAAAAAUAUAAAAGAUAUAGAACCUCAAUUGUCCACUAAUAAUAUGCAAACUUUGAAAUAAGAUGAUAUGAGAAUUCGAACUUUUUCAAGUACUAAGGAAAAAAAAAAUAUGAGAUUGAGAAUCAUUAAAAUUAAAAAAAAAUAACAACAUUGUAAAGUAGUUUUAUAAUAUAUUUACUCAUAUAUUCAUGGUCCAAUCACCAUUAUAGACAUCUUUUAAGAAUAUAGUUUUGAAGUAUCAUUUGUUAUUUUUCAUAAAACUAAUUUUUUUACUCAAGUAAUCUUUGUUCAUCUAAUGCAAACUUUGACAGUACAUAUCAUCCAAAAAAAAUACCAGUAGCAGCGUGGAUUCUUCUAUAUAUAAACUGCAAUAAAUUUCUUAAAAAUACAUCGUUAUGAUAAAAUUAUGUUUUCAACUUUCUCCAUUUUUAAUAUUUGUAUUUAAUUUAAAUUAGUAUCGGUUAACGUUAAUAUUAUUUAUUGGUUAAUAUUUAUUUAAAUUAACAUCAAUCUUCCUAAAAUUACUGUAAGUUUUUAAUAUCUGUAUUUAGUUUAAAUUAGUAUUAGUUAACAUUAAUAUUAUUUAUUGUUAAUAUUUAUUUAAAUUAACAUAAUCUAACUGAAAUUACUGUAACUUUUUAAUAUCUAUUUAAAUUUGAAUCGACUGAUCAUACGAUGUCUUCCCCUGGCACACCACAAUUGAAUUAGCUAUUAGCUGAUACAGUUGUGAGUGUGUUGGUGUGUGAUUUUAUGCAGGUUCUGUUUUGUAGUGUUGUCUUGUGAGUAAAUUCACAUAUGUGUUAAACCAAACCACACAACCAUACAGUUUUUAUUUAUAAUUAAGAUUAUGAAAAUAGGAAAGACAAACAUGCAGUGUUCUUACAUUAGGAAAAGAAAGAGGCAUUCAAUCCUAAUGUUACAUUAAAGAAACAGAAACAAACGUUGGCAAUGACAGCCUUAUUUGUAACAUAUUAUGAGACUAUGCUUUUUGAUGGAGAGUGAAGCCUUCUUUAGCUGACGGGCAAAAUGUCUUUAAGACAUGGCCAACCAUCAACGAUAGGCUUUAUAUCACUCAGAAGAACGUCAUUAGUUGCAUUUGGAGUGAAUUUGAUACGAACAUAUUGAUCUCCUUUGAAAAGAUAAGCUUCAGACUCCUCAUGAGAAGCAAAAGACGCAUCAAUUCCACUUUCAAAGAUCGUAUCUUUCAGAACAGGAAAUCCAUCAGUGAUUUUACGAAUGGUGCCAACAAGCUGCUUGGAAUCAUAGUCUAUGCGAGUAUACUGAUUGUCCUUGAAUAUGUAAACUUCUUUUCCUAUGGUUGACCUGAAUGCAGAGUCUAUGCCAUCCUCAAACACUGUGUUUUUUAGGACAGGAAAUGUUUCAGCAAUUGUGGCAGGACCUGAGAGAAUCUUGUCAUUUGUUGCACCUGGAGUAUACUCUAUGUAGGCAGACUGAUUGGUUGAGAACACAUAUGCUUCACUCCCUUCAGUAUCAAAGGAACCGUCUAUUCCAGGUUCUGCAAAUACCGUUCCUUUAAAUACUGGAAAACCAGUACUAAUCAAACGCAGACUAGUCAAAAUCUUAUCAUCUAAUUUUCCUGGAGUGUAUUGCACCCGCACGUACUUAUCCUUAAUGAAGAAAUAGACUUCAUAAUCUUUUGAUGAACGAAAGGCAGCAUUGAUGUAAGCCAUCUUUCUUAACACAAGAAAUAGAGGGAUAUAUGAUAUGAUUUGAGGAUGCUUACAUUCCUCCCAUAAGCACCUAUUUAUACUGUUAUGGAGUUGGAACUUCUUUACCAUUGGUGUUGGAAAUGAAAUCAUAAAAGAAUCUUUUACAACAUCAAAAAUAAAAAUAAAAACAUUCGCCAUAUUGGUGCACAUGUCUUCUCUGUUUAUUUAUUGGCAUGAAUACACUUAUGUAUGCAUGUGCUGAAUCAGAGUUAAUCAAGAAGAGGAUAUCAAAUAAACAAAUUGAACUAAAAAAAAUUGACCACAGUUAAAACAAAAAAUGUUGUCAUUUAAACACUAUUGAUUGUAACUGAAAAUCACAAAUCUUCAUUUGAGAGGACUAUUAAGACAUAAAAGGAAAUCUAAGCAAAAAGUUAUAUGUUUGUUUCACAGUGCAAUGAUACAUAUUUUUUUUAGUCAUGGCAAAGAAAAAAAUAUUAAUUAUUAAUAUAUUUAUGUAGGAUUUUCAUCAAAUAAAAUGCAUGCAAAAUUAUGCGAAAUUGGGUUAUUUCACCUUUUUUUCAACCAUUCAGUGUUCUUGUUCAUACAAACCAUAUCCGAGGUACCACACAUCACAACAUAUGAAUUUUCAUUAACUUAACAUUAAUUUUGAUAAAUAUAUGAUGUUGAUACAAACCUUAUCAAGUUGACAACUGUACCAAAAUUGAUUGCAGGUCCCAAACAAAGCACAUGCAGAAGUUAGAUAACAUUUGCUUACGUGUUUCAAUUUUAGUGGCUUUUAAGGUUACGUGUUAUCCUCAAGUGCCACACUCUCAAUAAUCAUUUAAAACAUCCAAUUUUUUAACAUGUUUGCCAUUUAAAAAUAAUUUAUAAUUCACAUUCGUUUUCAUUAAGAUGAACGAAUUCAUAAUAUAUAAAUAAUUAUGGUUUAGUUGGUGUUAAAUUAGAAUUAAUGUUAAUUACUAAAUAAUAAAACUAUUCAAUAGCAACUAAUUUUAAAAAUAAAUAAAUUAUUAUAUUAAUUAAAUUAAAUAUUAUCUUAUAAAUUACAAAAUCAUUAAUAUUUAAGAAAAAUCUAUUAUUAAUAAAAAAAUUAUAAAUUAUGUAGUUUCUAAAGUGAUAUUCACAUAAUACCAAUAUUUUAAUUAUUAACUAUUUUAUAACUAUCAAUAUUUUAAUUAUUAAUUACUUGAUAUUCUUAAUUAAUCUUUAUAAUAACUAAUAUAAUGUUCUUAUGCAAAGUUAUGCUACAUUAUUUUGUGGUUUUAAGCGUCAGCUUAUGAUGCAACCAAGUAGUUUCAGCUGAAGUUCUUCUCUGCUUGUGCCAGACUAUGCAGCUCAGAUCAUCUCUUUGUUUUAGAAUUUUUGUGUAUAAAAGAAGCUCAGUAGUGUUAGGUACCUCUUUUAACUUAAAUAAAUAAAUAAAAAAUCACAUCAAUUAAAUUUAUUUAUUUUUAAUAUUUAUUUGAAUUAAGUUUAGUUCAUUCAUCACAAAUUUAACAUUAAUACAAAUAUUUUAUUCAUUGGAAAAAAUAAAACAAAUUAACCUCAAUUCAUAAUUAACAUACCAAAAUUUUAAGUGUAGUUUAAUAUGCACCACAAAGUUCAGAUAAAAAAUCUAACUAUAACACUAGGAUUUUGAACUAGGAUUCUGAGCUAAUAGAGAUAAAUCUUGGAGUUAAAAGAGUCACAUUUUCUUUUUUUGUUAAUAAUAUUUUUUUUUCAUGUGAUGGCAGAUGAUUGUUGUUACUUGAGGUGUCAGCCUAGCUGAGAUGUCAAGUUGCAUAGUGAUGUCUAACAUGAAAACUUUUUAUAAAAAAAAAAAGUUUAUGCAGAGACAAACCUAACAAGUUCAAAAUUUGACUCAAAUGGAAGAACAAAAAUGAACUUACUUUAUUAAAGAUUCUAAUUUGGCAGUCUUGUAGUAUUCAUUGCUAUGAGUAUGAGUCUAAUGACACACUCCGAUCGCCAAACCUCAAACUGGAGAGCGAGUAGAUCAGAAUCUUAAAAAGAAGACAGAGAAAAGAAAAAAAAAGAAUUUUUUUUAAAGAGAUGAUUAUUCUUUUAAAAUAAAACUUUAAUCUUUUAACUUUAUCAAUAAAAUAUUCAAGUGUCAUUUUAAUAAUACCUACUUUUACUCUAAGACUAUUUUAUUUGAUCCUACCUAGAUAUAUAGUAUUUUAAAAUAUUACUUAUACAUAUAUAAAAUUUAGAUAAAUAUAAUAUAUUUACAAAACAAGGCCAAAUAAAACGUCCAUGAUCUUGUACCUCUAUUCAUAUUUCAUGUAUGGCAAUUUACAAAACAAACAAUGUAUUAUACUAAUUUUAUAUUUUUAUGAAUAUAUUAAAGUUAUUAUUAUUUUUUAUGUAUUUUAAUAUUAAGAUGUAUUUUUAUGUUUUCAACUUUCUAUUUCAAUUUUUUAUAAGUAUACAUACAAAAUAAAAUAAUAAACGUGUUGAAUUUAAUAGCUUAUCCUAGGACCACACGUGUGAACAAGCCCACUAAAAGAUAUGAAAAAAGUAAUGUUUGGGACCAGCAUUCAAUCCUCUAUGAAAAAUCCCAAAAUUGGUCCCAAACAAACACAACACGUGAAUAAAGUAUAUAUGAAUAACUAUUUUCAAAGUAUAGUUAAUUAAUCAAUCUCCUUUUAUGACAACAAUUAUUUUCAUUCAUAUGAAUGCGAAUUAUUUUUUAACGAAUGUAGAGAACUAAUGUUUUAAAAAUAUUGAAAAAAUAAGAAUUCAAAAACUGGUGAAAAUUCGAAAAGUGAUAUUUUUUAAAUUAAGAAAAUUUAAAAUAAUUAUAUUUAAUUAUAAUAGUAUAUAAUUGUUACCAAAAGUAAUGUUGGAAGAAAAAUUAGAUGCAAAAUGUAAUGAUUAUAAAUAUAUGAAUACUAUGAAAAAUAAUAAUAAUUAUAAGAAAAAAUGAAAAAUAAUCAUAUUUAAUUAAUGAAUUGUAGUCCAAUAAAUUGUGAAUAUAAUGUAUUACAAUAGAUGACAAGUAUUGUUAGAGUCUUAUUGAAAGAAGUUAAGACCAAAUAAUCAUAUUUAACUAAUUCUUCGUAAUAAAAAUUAUCUACUUUAUGAACUAAUUAUUAAACUUAUUUUAUAUUUUAUAGAUGUUCAACUACUCGAAUCCGAAUAAAUUGAUUAUUUAACGAUAGUUUGGACAUCCUAUUUGCUCAACUUUUACAACACCUUAAAAUAGAUCAUGAUUAAAAUAACUUAAUCAUAUAUUUUCUACUAUUAGAUUUAGUUUAUAUGCUUUUAAUAUAUAUAAAUUUUGAUUUUACAUAAUUAAUUUUUAAUUUGAUUUGAUGUGGUUAAUAUUUUAUUAUUUUAUGAGCAUGUUUUUCUGUCAUAUUCUAAAAUCUGCAUGGGAUUUUUCAACUAAUGAACAAUAAAGGUGACAGUUUAUUAAAAACGUCAUCUAUUAUAAAAAAAAGUAAUUUUAAUUAUCAUGUAAAUUAAAUUUUUUAAAUAAUAGCAAAAUAUAUGACGGAUUAAAAAUCAUCAUUUUAAAACUCUAAAAACUUGUCAUCUAAAACACUUAAUAUUAAAAAUCACAAAUCUUCCAACUGUUAACACAUAUUUUUUUUUUAUCAGUAAUAAUAAAUAAAUAAAUAUGAGUUAGUUUAGGGUGAUCUAACUCAAAUACAACUUAUUAAAAAUAGUCAACCAACAAAAUACUAACCAAACUAUAUCAAAAUUAUUCAAAUUACUCUGAAAAAAAAAAAAACUCCAAAACCAACGAUCAAUAAAAUAUAAUCACAAUUAAAUUGAAUUUAAGCAAAUCAUAGAUUCAAGACAUCAAUUUAAAUAAAAAAAAUAAAUAGAUGAAAUUUUAAAAGAAAUUCAAAACCAAAUUUUCAUUUCAACUAAAACAAUCUUUAAAUAAUUCAUACUACAUUUAAAAAUAACCUAAAAUAUUUAUAAAAAAAAAUUGGACAACUGUACCACAAUUGAUUCCACCGAUAAAUACAACAUGUGAAAAAAUACCACUAGUGUGGAUUGUUUGGCAUAUAAAUAAAAGUUAGAAAUGUCUGAUUUCGAAAAUGAAAAGAAAUAGAAAACACAGAAAACGUGUUAAAUUUAAUAGCUUAUCCGAGGACCACAUGAUUAUCUUUUUAUAAUUUCUAUAAUUUCUUUUUAUCUUUUUAACGUAUUUCACAGUUCGUUUAAUAAUUUAUAAUAAUCAAUUAUAAAAUUAAAAGAAUUAAUGUUAAGAUAAAUCAUAUAUUUAUCAAAAUUAAUGUUAAGUUAAUGGAUAUUCAGUCCUCUGUCUGGUUUGUAUGAAAAAAAAAGUUAAACAACCCAAUAUCUUAUCUUUCAUCAUAAAUAAUUCUACAUAAUUAUAUUCAAGAAAAAUAUUUAUUUCACAAUCGUCCCAUCCUACAAUCCCAAAAAUAUUAAUUGAAAUUUAUAAUUUUAUUAAUUUUGAAAAAAAUUCUAACUAAGGGUUUUUUUAUUUUUUUUUUUAAAAAUUAAUAUUUAUUAAGCUUGUAGAGUAAACACGGUUGUCAAAAUAUUAGAACUCUUAUAUUCAAAUUUUUUUUUCUCAAUAUUUCUUACAUUAAAUAAAUACAUAAGACGAAUUAAACUCUAAAUUCUAAAGUUAGUAACUAAAAUUUUAUCAACCAAUUAAAUACAAAUUUAAAAAUUAUUUAUUAAUAAUAAAUAAUAAAAAUAAUUUAGAUAUUAAUAAUUUGUUAAGAUAAAUAUUGAAUAAAUUCCUAAACAUAUAUAUACAAUAUAAUAUAUAAAAAUUUAUACUGAAAUGUUAAAUUUUUGUGAAUAAUUAUGGUUUAUAGUUGUGAUUGUGAAUAUUUGCUAAAACGUAGUUGAAAAUUUCAAAAUGUUGAGCAGGACACAACUCAAUGUUUGCAAUAGUUCUCAAUGUCUAAAAGAAUGCAAUGAUAAUUCCAAGGUAAAAUUAUCUCCCAUAUUAUAGAAUUUAAUAUCUUGUUCAUUUCUUUACUAUUAAACUUUUUCUAAAUUCUUCCUACUAUUUCUAAAACUAUCAAUUUGAUUAUCCUUUUCUUAAAAAUCACUAUUUCUGGACCCUUUCUCUCCCACCCCAACCCACUCUAAAUUGCUAAAUUGGUGAUUGUUGAUCUUUCUACAUCUCCAUACUUUCUUAUGACAAUCCAUAAGUUUUUUAAUUCCUAAAAUAUCUUUUUUAACAUUUUGGAUUAUGUAAUCUGGAAGUCUUUUGUGAUUAGCUUCUGGAUUACAAAAUCUGAAAGUCUUUUCUAUACACGAGAUUAGCUUUUAGAUUAUGUAAUCUAAAAGUCUUUUUCUUUCAUAUGUUUGAUUAGCUUUCGAAUUACAUAAUCCAGAAGUCUUUUCUGGAUUAAGAUUAGCUUUCGGAUUACGUAAUCUGAAAAUCUUUUUUCAAAUGCGUGAUUAGCUUCCAAAUUACAUAAUUCAUACACUUAUCUCAAAUCCAAAAAAGACUUUCGGAUUUCGUAAAUCUAAAGGAAACUUUCGGAUCCAAAAAAUCUUCUAAAUUAUGUAAAAGAGUAUUUUUCACAUUUGGUACGAGGAUAACAAAAAAAAAAAAGUAUGGAAGUGCAUGAAGAAGGAGUCUGAAAUUCGUAUGGAACUCUCCCAUCAAUUUCAAUGCAUACUUGCCACAUUUAUACCAGCAUCUUUUAGUAGUUUAAGAUUUAAAGUUUAAAAUUUCAUAACUACUGAACACAGCCAUUGAACAAUCCAUUUGUAUAAGCUUUUCCAAGAGUACCAACAUCCCUCGCCAACCACCUGGUAAGUUUCAGCAGAAAAAAAAAAUUGAUCUGGAUAAUGAAGAACAGCUGGAUCAGCAUGAAAAUGAAAAACACGUCCAAUUUCAUGGUGAACAAACUCUCUGACAACACUAUAACGAUAUUUAUCUGAAUGAUCACUAAAAUGAAAAGAGAAGACGUGAAUUAUAAAUCAUUAUAUAAUUAAGAAUAAACUUUUACUUGAGUUACAGUAAAAAAAAAAAAAAACUACUAGCUCAUAUUGACAUGAAUGAAUGAGGUAAUAGUUUAGAUACUGCUUGCUUGAGAAAAAAACAGAUCAAGAUGAAUAUAGCUUGAGGGAGCCAUUCAUGGAGGAAGAUAAUGAUAAAUCAGAAAAAGAUAAUAAUCCAGAAAUAAACUAGACGAAACCUAGAAAUAAUAAACCAGAGUUAGUACAACGAAAAAAUAAAAAAAGAUAAUGAUAAAUAUUGUGCAAUAAGAAUUUAAAAUAAAUCACAAAAACUAAAGCAAGUUAAAAUUUAAAAUUAAAGUUAAUCACGAUUAAUUAAAACUACAAUUGUAUGUUAUGACACAAAGCAAGAAUUCAUGUUUAAAACACUACAACAUCGAAAUUAAAGGUAAAAAUAGUUUAUCAGAAAAAAAAAAUUAUAAACAAGAGAGUGUUUAGCAAAAUCCAUAACAUAGACCAGCAAUAACCACAAACAAAUAAUUAUGGUCAAUCAUGUUUGUUUUAAGAUGAAUUAGUAAACUGGAUCCCUUAUAAUAAUGCAACUGUAAAAUGACCUAAUUAAUUCAUAAGGAUAGAAAAGUUUGUCCCUGCAAGAAUAAGAUUAAAUAAAUUAUGCUCACUUAGUAUAUAUUUUAAAUAGAGUUUUACACACUGAAAAAAUCCAAGAGAAUGUAAAAUAACUGAAAAGAAUAGGUAACAGAAAUCACCUUACAUAAACAAUCAUUUUCCUUGUGCCUUAUAAAUAGUCUUAGGAAUACAAGCCAAACUUUUAGACUCUGGUAGAGCUAUGAUGUUUGGAAAACUAAUUCAUUGCACAUUGGCACUGUGAAAUAACAAAACAAAAAAUAAAAGGACCAAAAUAAAAAUAUAUAUAUAUAUUUUGGUUGGGUGUCUUUUGUAUAAUAUUUUGGUUAUUGUAGUGUAAUGUAUGUCAGAUCCUUAGUUAGUUGGGUGAUGAAAAAUUUGUUUGGUGUUUUUCUAAACUCCUUUCAUGGAAGAGAAGCUUCGAAACUACCUAGCGUAGCUUCAAAACUAUCUAAACCCUAAACCGCUCCAACUUUAAAUAAACAGUUAUUUCUAUGUUUCUAAAUCUCGUUAACCAACAUGAUCCAAACAUUAUUCAACAUAAGAUUAACCGAAGUAGAUGCAUCUUGAAUCUUGAAAUGUUCGAAAUAUGACUCAUGGACAAUAAGAUCGACCGAGCUCACUCCAAACUAGUCGCAACAAAGAUCCAAAUUAACUAAACAACUCUCACAAUGUAAUUAUACAUAUUCUUUUUUAGUCAUGGCAAAGAAAAUAAAUAUUAAAUUAAAUAUUAUUAUCGAAUAAAAUGCAUGCAAAAUUAGGUUAUUUCACUUUUUUUUAUACAAACAUUCUACUUCACAUAUUUUUUCAAUCGUUUAGUGUUCUUGUUCACACAAACAAUAUCCUAAGGACCACACGUCACAACAUAUGAAUUUCCAUUAACUUAACAUUAAUUUUGAUAAAUAUAUGAUGUUGUUACAAAUCAUGUCAAGGUGACAACUGUACCAAAAUUGAUUGCAGGUCCCAAACAAAUACAACACGUGAAAAAAUACCACUAGCAGUGUGGAUUCUUUAGCAGAUAUAUACGUAUAUAUAUACACUGCAAUAAUUUUCUUAAAAAUACAUCGUUAAGAUAAAAUUCUGUUUUCAAUUUUUUAUUAAUAUAAAGUACACACACAAAAUAAAAUAAUAAAUACCAUUAUAAAAUAAAUAAAAAAUAUUGAAAGAUAAAAGUUAGAAAUGUCUGAAUUCGAAAAUGAAAAGAAAUAGAAAACAGAAAACGCAUUGAAUUUAAUAGCUUAUCCGAGGACCACGUUACAUGAUUAUAUUUUUAUAAUUUCUAUAAUUUCAUUUUAUUUUUUAACGUAUUUCACAAUUUGUAAUAAAUAAUUAUAAAAUUGAAAGAAUUAGUGUUAUGACAAUAUCAUAUAUAAGUGUAUGCAAUCCUCAACCUCAAGAGCAGUAGAAUGUUUGGGACAAGUAUUCAAUCCUCUUGAUUUGUAUGGAAAAAAAAAUAACCCAAUUUUGCAUGCAUUUUAUAUGUAUUUGUUAAAGUUGAUUUUUGGUAAAUACUUAAUAUGUAUUUGUUUUGUUGUAGUGAUUAAAUCUUGCUGUAUACAAAGUUAACGGGUGAUACAAUAUCAGAAAUAGCUCUGCAAUUUUUAUUUUUUUUAAAUCUACAUGUUAUUCAAAUAAAUAUAAUAAUAUUUGCUUAAUACAAUAAAUAUAGUACUAAAAAUAAAUGAAAAAACUCUAAACAUACUCACAUGUGUAUUCUAGAAAUUACAUAGGCAGAUUUACUAGUAUUCUAAUUACAACAUGUAUGAUAUUAAUUAAUACUCUGAUAGUUAAAAACAACCAGAAUAAUAAAGUAUAGAUGAAAAAAUUAAAACUCAAAAUGGACUUAUGCAUGCAUACCAAUUUAUACAACAUACACAUGUCAAUAAUAAAGUUAUUAUGUUAAGUAAGUAAUAUUGCAAAUUAAAAUAUCCUAUGAUAGUGCUAAACUUAUCCAGUUUAUGUGACGAGGCAAAGAAAUUUGUAUUUUUUUAAUUUGAGUUUAUUAAUCGAAAAAUGAUUUAUAGAUCAUAUUUAUUUUCAUUAAGACGCAUGAAUUCAUAAUAUAUAAAUAAUUAUUAGUUUAGCUGGUGUUAAACUAGAAUUAAUGUUAAUUAAUAAAUAAUAAAUUAAAUAAAUAUAAAUAAUAAAAUCAAACAAUAUUAGCAUCAAUUAAAUCGAAUAAUUUUAUUUAUUUUUAAAAAUAAUUUAAAUUAAUUUUAACAAAUUCAUCAUUGACAUUAACAUAAAAGAAUUUACAUUUUUAACUUUAAAAGGUUAAUCUUUUACACUAUAAUAAAAUUAUUAAAUAACAUUUAAUUUUUUUUAAAUAAUUAAUUAUUAUAUUGAUUAAGUUAAAUAUUAUUUUAUAAAUUAAAAAAUAUUAGUAUUUUAAAAAAAUAUUAUUAAAUAAAAUUUAUAAACUAAUUUUAAAUUACUAUCUCACACUUAAUCUUUUAACUAUUAAUUAUUUUAUAUUCUCAACUAAUCUUUAUAAUAACUAAGAUAUUAUAUUGUAUUAAAGUUAAUUUAGUCAAUAUUUAAUAAUGUUACAAUAUUGAGUGACACAAUUAUUUAGAAUUUAAUUCGAUAAUUUUUAUAAUAAAUUAUCAUAAUUUUAGUAAAAAAUAAAAAAAGAUUGAAAAAAAAAUUAUGUUUAACAUAAAUAAUUUUUUAUUUUCAAAAAUAAAAAAAAUUAAAAUUGAAGCACUUAUUUUAUAUGUAAUUAAAACAUAUUUAACCUUAUUAUCAAAAACAACUUUUCGUUUCGUGUACGAAUAUCAUUGAGUAUAUGGAAUCUCAUUCAGCACAAGAUUUAUUUGUGUUACCUGUAAAUGGAAUUUUUUUAUAAGAAUAUUUUAAUGAUGUUUAAAUAUAAUUUUUUUCUAUAUAUAUAUAUUAUGGGAUUUUCUAUUUAGUUCACACAAUUUUAAAAAAAUAUACUUAAAGAUAAUUAUUAUUUUUAUAUAUAAGACAUAUAAUUUUUGUGUUACUACUCUAUUCAAAUCUUAUUUUUCUAUAUUUCUUACAUUAAAUAAACAGAAUAGACAAUUUAAAAUAUAUAUUUAAUUUUUUCAAUAAUUGUAAUAUUUAAUAAUAAGUUAAAUUAUAUAUUUUUUAAAAAAAAUACGAAGAUGACAAUGUGCAUGUUUUCGUCCGUGUAUAUAUAUAAUUAUUGUAUAUUACUAAUUAAAAUAAGUUAUUAUAGUAGGAAUGGAGAAAGAAAGUUGAUGCGAUGACAAAACAGUACACGACAAUGAUUUUAAGUAUUUUUGUUUUAGGUUUGGUCUAACCCCACCCUUUAAUCUUAUCCAGAAGUAAGAGGAAGGACACAUUUCUCACGUGCUUUACUUUACUAAGUUAGAAAUAAGUGUAUUCAUGAUAGUUUCCUGUAUCAAUAGUAAAGGACUUCCCACUCCAUAAUAGUAUAAAUAGGUGUCUUUCAUAGGAAUCUAAUCAUCCACAAAUCAACUCAGAUCUCUCUAUUUAUCUAUACUUUAUCCAUCAUUUUCUACAGUUUGUUAAGAAAAUGUCAAUCCCUCCACCAAAUGAUCCAUCCAGAGGUUCAUCAGAAUUCUCACAGCCUCUCCGAAUGGUAGAUUUUGUUGAAGCUCUAGAAUUGUUAAAUAAUAUCAACCGUGUGAACGUCGUGGAAGGAAACUUGACUGGAAUUGAGUACAGGACAGGUGAUCAAGAAUUAGAUAUUCGUCGUCCUGUAUAUCGUUGGGACAGAAGGCCCUACCAGGAGAUCUUUGAAAAUGGCUUCCAAGCAUGACCUCAAGGACAAACUCCCAACUCCACUUAUUAUGAUUUGCAUCACUUCAUUGAACAUGCAGGAGCCCCUCUUGAUUCCAAUAGGCCUCCAACUACAACACAUGUGUACCACACUCAACAAUGCUUGGCAACCAACACCUUCUAUCGAAGUCCUCCCACCCGGCUCUCAGAUCCAAUUUUAUCAUUAUGAAAUUUAUGCUCCUGGUGGUAUUUGGUAUUUGGGUUGCUCUCAGUCUUAAUAGUUACCCAUAUAUUUCUCAAGCUGAAGUUUGCUUUGUUGGAGGAAUUGCAUCUCAGUACAUUCGAUCUUGUCUCAUAUUCACAGCAACACGUGAAGCCGGAGCAAGGUUAGAUUACAUCUCAUGCUAUAUAAUUUUUAUAAUCAUCUCAUAUAAUCAAUCACUAACUAUAACCUAUUAUAUUGUGCAGGUUUCCGAGAUUACAGAGAGAAACAAGAUUGGUGAUAAACAGAAAUUUUAAUCCAGUGUCAUUUCCUUACCUUGAAGUUGUAGUUCAUAUGCCAGUGUACUACUACAGAGAUGAUAAUGGUGUAAACAGAUACCUACCUGAAGAAACUUAUCCGCCUAGGAGAGAGAAAAGAGAGGUCUUGAGUGCUGAUGAGGAUGCUGCUCUUAAGUGGUAUACUAGUUCAGUUCUAGAGAUACCAAGUUAUAUAAAUUCUGCAUUGCGUUCAUCAAGAACAAAUGAAGUUUAUUUCUUCUUAAAAAAUAAGUAUGUGCGGGUUUAUUACACUCCUGGACAAACAGAUGAUAAGAUUUUGACUGAUUUACGUUGGAUUUAUGAUGGCUUUCCAUCACUUGUUGAUACGCCAUUUGGAGAAUAUGGAAUAGACUGUGUCUUCGACACUGAAGGCAACGAAGCAUAUAUCUUUUGUACCAAACUUUGUGCCUACAUAGACUAUGCUCCAGGUACAAUGAAUGACAAGAUUCUCUCAGGUCCUACCACAAUUGCUGAAAUGUUUCCCGUCCUAAAAAACACAGUGUUUGAGAAUGGCAUAGAUUCUGCAUUCAGGUCAACCAAAGGAAAAGAAGUUUACCUAUUCAAGGGAAAUAAGUAUGGUCGCAUAAUGUAUGAUUCCAAACAGCUUGUUGGCACCAUUCGUAAUAUCACUGAUGGGUUUCCUGUUUUGAAAGGUACCAUCUUUGAAAAUGGAAUUGAUGCUUGUUUUGCUUCUCAUAAGGAGAAUCAAGCUUAUCUUUUCAAGGGAGAAAACUAUGUACGGAUCAUUUUCACCCCAGGCACUACCGAUGACACUCUUGUGGGUGAUGUGAAGUCUAUCUUUAAUGGUUGGCCACUUCUUAGAGGCAUUCUACCUCUCGACAAUAAAGGAGUUGAUGCUCAUCCUCAAUCUGAUCAUGAAGAACCAUAUCCUGAUCAACAUGAUGAGCUUUGAAAAAAAAAUAACAAGAUGCCAUAAUAUGAUAAGAAUAAGGCUUUCAUUGCCAAAGUAUUGCUUCCUUUUCUUUCUUUCUUUCCUAAUGUAAUAAGUGUGGAUGCUUGUGUUUACUUUCUUCUAUGUGGAUAUUUGCUUUCCUUUCUUCAUGUAAUGCUAAUGGUUUAAUAAUAAAAGUGUGCUUUUUGAUUGAAUAAAUUAUUCUAAAUUUGUUUCCUUUAAAAAAUUUACGGAGAUGUUUAUUGGUUGAUUUGAUUCCAGUGUAUUUUUUAAAGGCUAUGUGUAACACCCCAUAAUUUACAUAUAACUAUUACAAUAAAAGUUCUACCAGUUUCUAUACAAACUUGGAGUUUUUCAAAACAUUCCUAAUACAUGAUUAGGAUUUAUAGAAAUACAAAUAUUUACAUAUCCACAGCUCAAAAUAAAACUCUGUAACCUCUAAGGCUCUCCUGCACCUGUAUGGUCAUCUGCUCGUGUACAUAGUACAGUCAUCGCAGUUCAAACACAGCAAGAAAAGCAAGGGUAAGCUACUGAAAAUAGAAUUUUAUAAUAUACACACUUAAAUCCAAAGAGAAAACCAAGUUACAUGAUCAAUUUCUCAAAUUACACAAUCUUCUUCAAAUCCCAACAUUAAAACAAUCACAUAGAUCUCACAUGGAUCUACACAUCCAGAAUAUUCAACAAACAACAUCUUCCGGAAGACCCGUAUUAAGUAAGUCCUACCAGAGACUAACACCUGAUCCAAAGAUUACCAGCGAAUCCAACAAAAAGGAUUAGGGUAAGUUCAAUACAACCCAAGCCGUGCAUCUCAUAUGUCACAGUGUGCAUGAACUCCCCCAUCAGCUUCUCACCACCUGAUAUCUUAGUCUAUGUGACUUAGAUCAUCAGUGAAGCUCGGAGAUCUCUGUUACCACUUAGGCAUCAAUACUUAAUAUACAACAAACAUCAGUCCAUACAUUAUCUCAAAUGUAUGAAUUCAAUUUCAUACCAUUUCGUCAUACAAUAUCAUUCAAAAAGUUAUCCACAAUAUUCAAAAGUUUAUUUGGCAUAAAAAAAUACACUUUAAUACUAAAUCAUCAAAACCCAAUAUUUUCACAAAUUUAAAUAAUAUAUAAACAAACAACCCAAUAUAAAUAAACACACAACAUCCCUGCAAGAGAAAUUGAAUAUUGGGACCACGUCCCUUCCGCAUUCAGGUCUUCUAUCCUAGGGUGCUAUUAAAAAAUAAAUUUAGCUUCCCUUACCUCAAUUGCUUGCUUUCCAAGCAACUUUUAGAAUUUUAUUCCCCACCGUUUGGAUAAGCUUCAAGAUUUACGGGCCUAAUGCAAAUUAUCCAAACAGAACAAAAUUUCAGUAUAUAAUAGAAUAAGUUGAGAGGAUUAAACUUCUCAACUGACCCCAUCAAAAUUGAUGACUAAAUCCUAAGGAAAAACAGUGAACACAGGAUAUUUAGAGUAAAAAUGAACUUACUCUGUUUGAAAAUCUGAUCGGGUAGAAAUGUUCCUUAACUCCUCUGCUACAGCGUGGUAUGAUCAGAUUCUAAAAUAGAUGAAGAUUGAGAGAGAAAUUAAGAGAGAGGGAGAGAAGAGAAUUGGAGAGAGAGAGAAAGUGGUUUGGAAGAAUGAAGAAGAAAGUGAUAGUGGGCACACUGUUUCUGCUUUAUAUAAAGAAAGUGUCGUUACACUAUGAUACGUAAACUCAAGUAAAAAUGAUAUAAAGAAGAAAAGAAAAAUAAAUCCAAUAAAAUUAUUGAGGACUAUGUGAAUUUCAUAAAGUAUAAUCUAUUUUUUUAUUGUCAAUAAAUAAAUAAAUUAAAAAAAAUAUUUUAGAAGUGUUAUAAACUUUAUAAAAAUAUCAACAACCUCAUCAUCUUGUUUACGAAUUUAGAAAAAUAUUACAAAUAUCAAUAAUAAGCAAACAAAACCAAUACGAGACCUAGGCUUCCUGCAAAAUUAUGCAGAAAACCUUGCAUAAGUAUCCUUUUGAUGAAGCACAAUCUAUAUGUGAAACAAAAAGAAUGUUCAUAUGUUAAAAACCCCACAACAUAUUAUAAUUAUUAGAAUAAAAAAAUAAUUUAAAAUAAAAUUAUUAGAAUUAGGUGAGUAUCCAAUUUGUACACUUUGAUUUCAAAUGUUAUAUUUAAACAAAAUCAAGUUUGAAAAACUAUACUAAUGACGAUAAUUUAAAAUACAUAAAAUCAAAGAAAUACAAUAAUAUUUAGAGGUGGUGGUGAAAAUUAUCGUCCAUGAUAAUGAACAACAAAAACAACUAUAUAAAAAAUUGUCAUCUAUAUAAAAAUAAAAAUUACAACUUUAAUCACAUCUAAAUUAAAAAAUAAAUUAACGACAAUUAAUAGACAAUAUAUUGAAAAUGAUCACUCUAAAGAUUCUAAAAAUUAUCGUCUAAACACCUUUGUCUCACAAUGAUUAUACAUAUUCUUUUUAGUCAUGGCAAAGAAAAUAAAUAUUAAAUUAAUUAUUAAGAUAUUUAUGUAGGACUAUUAUCGAAUAAAAGGCAUGCAAAAUUGGGUUAUUUCACUUUUUUUAACACAAACAUUCUACUUCACAUAUUUUUUCAAUCGUUUAGUGUUCUUGUUCACACAAAAAAUAUCCUAAGGACCACACGUCACAACAUAUGAAUUUCCAUUAACUUAACAUUAAUUUUGAUAAAUAUAUGAUGUUGUUACAAACCAUGUCAAGGUGACAAUUGUACCAAAAUUGAUUGCAGGUCCCAAACAAAUACAACACGUGAAAAAAUACCACUAGCAGUGUGGAUUCUUUAGCAGAUAUAUACGUAUAUAUAUACACUGCAAUAAUUUUCUUAAAAAUACAUCGUUAAGAUAAAAUUCUGUUUUCAAUUUUCUAUUAAUAUAAAGUAUACACACAAAAUAAAAUAAUAAAUACCAUUAUAAAAUAUAAAAAAAUAUUGAAAGAUAAAAGUUAGAAAUGUCUGAAUUCGAAAAUGAAAAGAAAUAGAAAACAGAAAACGUAUUGAAUUUGAUAGCUUAUCCGAGGACCACACGUUACAUGAUUAUCUUUUUGUAAUUUCUAUAAUUUCAUUUUAUCUUUUUAACGUAUUUCAUUUUAUAAAUUCUAGAGUUGAUAAUUAAACUUUUGAUAAUUAAUUAUAUAUCAAUUUUAAAAUAUUUAUCAAUAAUAAUAAAAACUAAUUUAAAUACUAAUAAUUUUUUAAUAUUUAAAAUAAUAUUUAAUUUACACAAUAUAAUAAAUAAUUAUUUUUAAAAUAAAAUAAAAUUAAUUUUUAUUUAAUAAUUUUUUUAGUAAUAAUCUUUAUAAAAGUUCAAAACUGAAAUUUAGCUAAUUGAAGAAGUUAUAAAAGUUCAAACCUGAAAUUAAUUAUUUGAUUAAAUUAGAAACUAUUUUAUAAAUUAAAAAAAUAUUAAUAUUUAAAAUAAUUUUUAUUAUCAAUAAAAAAAUAUAAUUUUUUAAAACUGAUAUCUAAUUAUUAAUUAUUAAAAUUUUAAUAUAUUUUAAAUUAAUUAUUUUUAGUGUUUUAAAAAUUAAUUUAGAAUUUAAAGUAUUUCUUAGUAAAUAAAAUCUUGAUAACUAAUUUAAAUACUAAUUUAUAAAAUUUUAUUAAUAAAAAACACUUUAUAUAUUAAUAACUUUUUAUUUCUAAAAUAAUAUAUAAUUUAAAGUUAAUACAAUUUUUAUUUUUAAAUUUAAUUAAUAUUUAAUAAUCUUUUAGUGUGAUAUGCAGGCAUAAGUCCAUUUUAUAUAUAUUUUUAUCCUAUAUUAUAUUUGCAUAGCAUAAAUGUCAUCAAAGUAUAACAUUUAUAAUACUAAUUAAUACUCUCGUAGUUAAAAACAGCCUCGUAAAAAAGAGAAAGAAAAAAAAUUCUCUGUUUAAAAAUAAAUAUAAUAGUUACAAAUGAUAUUGUUUAAUUGUUUCCUAUAUCUAAGAACAUAGUUUUUGUUUCCAAUUUUAGUAAUUAUUUUACUAAAAUUAUCAUAAUAAAAAAAUAUCAAUUAGAAUUAGCUUCUAAAUAAUAGCAUAAAAAAUGUAACAUUAUUAAAACCCACUAAGUAAACUUUAACAUGACCUAAAAGAUUAACUUUUUGUGUAAAAAUGUAAAAUUAUUUUUAAAUAUAUUGUUUUGUGUUAAAAAUGUAAAAUUAUUUUUAAAUAUAAUUUUAUAUUAUGUAAAGUGUGUGUAUUGGUUAAGUUGAUGCUUAAUAUGAUAAUAUAGUCAACCUAACUAAUUAUGAGUUGAGGUUAAUUUUUUUUAAAUAUGUAAAAACAUUUGUGUUAAUGUGUAAUAAAUUAAUUAACAUUAACUCAAAUAAAUAUUAAAAUGUAUUUAAUUCCAUAUGGUUUAAUUAACAUUAAAUUAAAUAACUUUUAUAAAGUAAAAAACAUAUGGACGUCAAUUUAGCUAAUAUUAAAUUAUUUUAAUUAAAAAUUAAUGUUAGAGUUUACUUAACUAACACUAAUUAGAAUUGUAAAAAUUGACACUAAUGAACUAGUAUUCAUAGUUUUAGAGCCUGUUACAUAUAUAAUAUAAAUUUAUCACUAUUAAUUAAUUAAUCCUAAUUUUUACUUGUUAGAAUCGAUUUUUAGUGAAGUUAAAUUUAUAUUUUCUUAUAGUGAUUUGAGUUAUAUAAAAAAAAAUGAAAUCAACUUCUUCAAUUAGAUAUAUUUUGGGGUUUGAACUUUCACAAAGAUUAUAUUUUCUAAUUUGGUAUAAAGUGUGUUUAGUUUAGGAUGUAUCUUGAAAUUUUUGUAGGUGAAUUUCUGAUAUAAUAAUUAUGAACUUUUAAUUUUAUUUUCAAUCUAAUAAUAAAUCUCAUGGCUUCUUCAAGAUUAGGAUUGCAAGUUAUGUUACAAAGAGUACUUUAUUCUUCAAGAUUGUAAAUUAUGUCACAAAGGAGUAAAUACAUGCUUGUGUAGACUAGCCUUAAGGAAUUGGAAAGUUAGGUCUCAUUCCUUCCAAUAAGACUCAUACAAGAAUACGAAAUGGUUAAGUCUUGUUUGAUUAGUACUCAUCAUUUUCCAAUAAAGAUCCUAGUUAGUGCAAACUAAUCUAAGUAUCCAAACUACAUAUAUUAUUUUUGGUAGAGUAAAUUUAUUUGGAUUUUUCAAAUCCAUUUAAAACAAACUAAAUUUAUAUUAAAUCUACUUUAUCAAUUAGAUUCAAUUUUUUAUGGGACUGACUUGACGUGGGUCAACUCAACCCAACCUUGGUAGACUUGACUCGACCUACCUUAAGUCGACUCAGCUCGACAUGAUCUACCUGGUCCGAGCUGACUAAGCUCGAAUCGGGCCCAAGCCGACUCGGUUCGACCUAGAUCUGACUUGACUUGGCUUGAGUUGGGUUAGACGUGUUGACUUGAACUCGGGCCAACUCGACUCGACCUUGAAUCGCACCGACUUGGCUUUUUCUAAACCUAGGCCAACUCAACUCGACCUGGAUCUGGGCUGACUUGGCUCAACUUGGCCUCGGGCCAACUUGGCACGACAUGGAACAUGUCCGACUAGCCUCGAACUAGGCUUAUGCGCAGACUGACUUGGAAGCAGGUUGAUUUAGCUAGACUUGGGCUCGAGUAGACUCGACUCGACAUGGGACCAUACAUACUUGACUCGACUUGGCUCAACCUGGAUUUGGGCCGACUCGGCUUGGCAAGGGGCCCAUGCCGACUCAUCUUGAAAUGGGUUCAAGUUGACUCGACUUGACCUGGUACCAAGACAACUUGGCUCGACUUGAGCCCAGACUGACUCUGCUCUACAUAAGCCCAUGCUGACUCAACUUGACAUGGGGUCAUGUCGGCUCAGCUCAACUUGGUACUAGGUCGAUUCAAGUUGACUUGGGCCUGAACCAACUCGGUUGAUAGAGGCUCGACACGACUUGGGCCUGAACAGACUCGGUUGGACAGUGUUCGAAUCGACUCGACUCCACCAAGACCUAAGUUGACUCGGCUGGACCUGGACUUGGGUCGAAUCAACUGCACUGGGCCGGACAGGCUUUACCUCAGCAUGCACUGACUCUACUCCACAUGGGCAUGAGCUCACCUGUCUCUACAUGGGUUUGGGUUGACUUAGCUCAAACUGGGUCCAUGCCAUCUCAAGUCAACAUGGGUCCAGGUUGACUCGACUCGAUCCGGGCUGGGGUCGAGACAACUCGACAUGGGUUCGGGUUAACUCGACUCGGCCCGGAUCGACUCGGCUAGACCUGGUCCCGUGUCAUGUUGGCUCGACUUGGACUGGAUCAUUUUGACUCAAUCUAGGCCCAAGUCGACUCAACUAGACUUGGGCUCGAAUCGACUUAGCUCGACUUGAGUCCUGGUUUACUUGACUCAACCUAGGUCCGAAAUGACUCAAAAUCCAUCACAAAAUUCAUUUUGGAUAAUUAAAAAUGUAUUGAAUGUAUAUCUAAUCCAAAUCUAUUUAGAUGAAUUGAAUUUAAAUCCAAAAAAUAAAUUUGAAUUUAAAAUCUAAAAAAUAAAUUUGAAUUUAAAAUAAAUAUAUUUAAAUGGACUUACAAACAAUAAAUUUUUUUUGAAUAAUUAUGAAUUACAAUUUAAUUUUUUUAAAAAGAUAGGUACCUUAUAAAAGAAUGGUUUUAAAGGGAGGUAAAAGAGUGAAUGGUUAUAAAAUUAUACAAUAAAUUGGUACAUUGUAUAUUCAAAUAACAACUUACGUGUUUCAUGCAUUUACAUUGGAUGCACUCAUAUAUCCAUUAAGUACAUGAUAAUAGGUUGUUUUCUAAUUUUAACAUUUUUUUUACUAAAAUUAGCAUAGUUCAUAUUGUAAGAAAAUGAUUAUGAGAUAUUAUGAUAUACUAGAAUUUAGUUUAUGAACACAUGACUAUCUUUAAGGAUGGUAUAUUCAGCUUAGUAAAUAUUGAUUAAAGUUAUAUUAUGGAUAUAUUUACUUAUUAUUUAAUAAAUAAAUAUUAAUCAAUAUUUUUUAUUGAUAGCAAUCAUAUAUUUAUAUUUUUCAUUUGUAACAUUAACAAUGACACUAAAUUUAUUAAAAUAUUAUUUCUCAUUUGUAUAUUUAGAUUUAAUUUUAAUAAAUCAUAGGUACGUAUAAUCUCUUUUAUUUAAUUUUUAAUAUUAAAUAUAAAUAUAUAUAUAUAUAAAUAAUAAAAUAAAAAAUAUGAAUGCAUAUAUAUUAGAGUAUCUGUGUGUUUCCGUAGUAAUUAAUAAUAAAAAAUUAUAAAACUAAAAAAAUUAAAGUUAUGACAAAUUAUAUAUUUAUAAAAAAUAAUGUAAAGUUAAUGGAAAUUCAUAUGUUGUGAAGUGCGGUCACUCGGAUAUGUGAUUUGUAUGAACAAAAAACACUAAACGACAUGAAAAAAAAAUCUUACAUAAAUAUUUUGGUUUGUAUGAAAAAAAAAAAUCCAAUUUUGCAUUCAUUUUAUUCGAUAAUAAUCUUACAUAAAUAUUUUAUCUUUCACUACAAGACAAUCAUGAAAUAAAAACUAAUUUUUAGAUACCAAAAUAAUUAGUUGUAAUAAUAACUAAAUUAGAGACCAUUUUAAAAAUUAAAUAAAAAAUUAGUUUAUAAAUUAGUUUUUAUUAUUGUUAAAUAGUUUCUAAAUUGGUAUCUAAUUACUAACCAAGGUUUUAGAGACCAAAUUUAGAAACUAAAUAAUUGGUAGUUAAAACCUUGGUUGUUAAUUAGAUACCAAUUUAGAAAUUAUUUAACAAUAAUAGAAACUAAUUUAGAAACCCAAUUUUUUUAUUUAGUUUCUAAAAUGGUUUCUAAUUUAGUUAAUAUUGCAAGUAAUUAUUUUUGUUUCUAAAAAUUUGUUUCUAUUUCAUGAUUUUCUUGUAGUGUUUUAACAUAAACAAUCCUACAUAGUUAUAUUAAAAUCCUUUUUUUUCAAUAUUUCUUUCAUUAAAUAAAUACAUAAGACAAUUUAAACCGUAAAUUUUAAAGUCAGUAGCUAAAAUUUUGUUACCUAAUUAAAUACCAAUUUAAAAAUUAUUUAUCAAUAAUAAAAAAUAAUUUAUAUAUUAAUUUUUUAAUAUUUAAAAUAAUAUUUAAUUUAUUCAAUAUAUCAACUAAUUAUUUUUAAUUUUUAAAAUUAAUUUUUAUUUAAUAAUUUUCUCAUAGUGACCCUUUUUAUAAAAUUUCUAAAUUUCUAGAAAUUUAACUAACCGAAGAAGUUGAUUGAAUAAAAAAGAAAAUAGUGUAAAUAACUAACAUCAUUACGAGAAAAUACAGAUUUAGUGUCAAUUAAAAGUCAACUCAACUAAGUAGAAAUAGACAUUAAUUAGUCAAUAACAUUAGAUAUAGGUAUCUAUGUAAUUUAUUAGUGUAUCUAUGUAGUAUAAGUUAAUACUCACUAAUACAAAACAAUGUUUUAAUGACGAUUAAAAGGAUUUUUAUCUAAUAACUGUUAUUAUUUUAGAUAUUAUUUUAGAUGUCGUUAUAAAUUAGUUAUUUAUAAUGACGAUUUUAGAACCGUUCUUAUAAAACUUCAUUAAUUACACGUAUAAAAAAUAUCAUUAUUUUGUUAAAUAAAAGAAAAAAUAUAUUUAUAACAACAAUUUUAAUAAUUUUUUAGUUUAUAAAAUUAUUUUUAAUUUAAUUAAAUAAUAACUAAUUAUUUUAAUUUAUAAAAUUAAUUUUUAUUUAAUUAUUUUAUUACUGUGUUAUUUACUCACUAUUAAAAAUAUUGUUUUAAUAACUACACAGUAGAAAAGUUAAACUAUAAUUAUAAGGUGAUACAAUAGAAUUUUAAAAUGGAUCAAUCUCUUCAAAUAGAUUUACAUCUCAGAAAUAUCACUCUUUUAGCUGCAUUAUUGUAUUAAUAGGUAUUUUACUCCAAAUUGUUAUCACUUGGCUUUUAAUUUAGCGCAUAAAUAAUCAGUGGGAUGUCAUAAAAUGCCAAGAUUAAAAUAAUAUUUUUAUUUUAAAAAGAAUGAAAAUAAGUGAAUUAUGUUUCACAGAAAUAUAAUAUUUUAUUUGAAAAGAACAAAACAAAAUUAAAAUUAAAAUUAAAACACACUUAUUUUAUAUGUGAUGAUAACAUAUUUAACCUUAUUAUCAAAACAACUUUUCGUUUCGUGUACGAAUAUAGCAACCAUCAUUGAGUAUAUGGAAUCACAUACAGCACAAGUUUUAUUUGUGUUACUUCAGCUAGUUUUUUUUUUUUUUAUUGGUGUUUCGUCUAUUUGAUUUGUCUGUAUUUGCUUUAGUGGAAUGUUGGAUGAAGUUUCUGUCAGAUUUUGUUUUGUCAUGUUAUGUCAGUAGCUGCUUUGUUUUUUAGAUGUUUGAAAGAUGUUAUGCGGUUAGACUCGUACCCUUUUGUAUAAUGAUUGAAUCACUAUUGGAGUGGUUCUUGGGUAUAUAUAUUAUUGAUUGCUGAUAAAAAAAAGUCACGAAAAUUUUAAUUUGAUUUAAAAAAUAUUUUAAUGAUGUUUAAAUAUAACUUUUUUCUAUAUAUAUUAUGGAAUUUUAUAUUUAGUUCACACAAUUUAAAAAAAAAUAUAUAUAGUUAAAUAUAAUUAUUAUUUUUAUAUAUAAGACAUAUAAUUUUUUUGUGUUAUUACUCUAUUCAAAUCUUAUUUUUCAAUAUUUCUUACAUUAAAUUAAAUAAACAGAAAAGACAAUUUAAAAUAUAUCUUUUUCAAUGAUGGUAAUAUUUCAUAAUAAGUUAAAUUAUAUAUAUAUAUAUAAUUUUUUUUAAAAAAACGAAAAUGACUAUGUGAAUGUUUUCGUCCGUGUAUAUAUAUAUAUAAUUAUUGUAUAUUAGUAAUUAUUAUGGUAGGAAUGGAGAAAGUUGAUGUGAUGACAAAAGAGUAUACGACAAGGAUUUUAAGUAUUUUUGUUUUAGGUUACCUCUAACCCCACCCUUUAACCUUAUCUAGAAGUAAGACGAAUGACACAUUUUUCACGUGCUUUACUUUAAGCUAGAAAUAAGUGUAUUAAUGGUAGUUUCCAAUAACAAUAGCAAAGAAGUUCCCACUCCAUGAUAGUAUAAAUAGGUGUCUCUCAUAGGAAUCUAACCAUCCUCAAAUCAAAUCAUAUCCCUUUGUAAAGUUUGUUAAGAAAAUGUCAAUCCCUCCACCAAAUGAUCCAUCUAGAGGCUGCUCCUCAGAGUUCUCACAGCCUCUACAGCUACAAGAUUUGGUUGACGCUCAAGAAUUAUUGGAAAAUGUGAACCGUGUGAACGUUGUUGAAGGAAACUUGACAAGAAUUGAGUACAGGAUAGGUGAUCAAGAAUUAGAUAUUCGCCGCCCUGUGUAUCGUUGGGACAGAAGGCCCUACCAUGACAUCUUUGUAAAUGGCUUUCAAGCAUGGCCUCAGGAACAAACUCCCAACUCCACUUACUAUAAUUUACAUCACUUCAUUAAUCAUGCAGGUGCCCCUCUUGAUCCAGAUCGGCCUUUAAAUACAAGACAUGUCUUUGUGAGUACCACUCUCAGUAAUAGUUGGCAACCAAGACCUUCAACUGCAGUCCUCCCACCCGGCUCUCAUAUUCAAUUUUAUCGUUAUGAAAUUUAUGCUCCUGGUGGUAUUUGGGUUGCUGUCACUCUUGGGCAUCAAUACGACCAAUAUGCUUCUCAAGCUGAAGUUUGCUUUGUUGGAGGUAUUGCACCUCAGUACAUUCGAUCUUGUCUCAUAUUCACAGUAACGCGUGAAGCCGGAUCAAGGUUGGAUUACAUCUCAUGCUAUAUUAUUUUUAUAAUCACCUUAUAUCAUCGAUCACUAGCUAUAAGUUAUUAUAUUGUGCAGGUAUCCGAGAUUUCAGAGAGAAAGAAGAUUGGUGAUAAACAGGAAUUUUAAUCCAGUGUCAUCUCCUUACGCUGAAGUUGUAGUUUAUAUGCCGGUGUACUACUACAGAGAUGAAAACGGUGUAAACAGAUACCUACCUGAAGAAACUUAUCCGCCUAGGAGAGAGAAAAGAGAAGCUUUGGAUGCUAACGAGGAUGCUGCUCUUAAGUGGUAUACUAGUUCAGUUUUAGAGAUACCAAGUUAUAUAAAUUCUGCAUUGCGUUCAUCCAGAACAAAUGAAGUUUAUUUCUUCUUAAAAAAUAAGUAUGUGCGGCUGUAUUACACUCCUGGACUGACAAAUGAUAAGAUUUUGGCUGAUUUGCGUUGGAUUGGUGAUGGCUUUCCAUCACUUAUUGAUACGCCAUUUGGAGAAUAUGGAAUAGACUGUGCCUUCGACACUGAAGGCAACGAAGCAUAUAUCUUCUCUACCAAACUUUGUGCCUACAUGGACUAUGCUCCAGGUACACUGAAUGACAAGAUACUCUCAGGUCCUACCACAAUUGCUGAAAUGUUUCCCGUCCUAAAAAACACAGUGUUUGAGAAUGGCAUAGACUCUGCAUUCAGGUCAACCAAAGGAAAAGAUGUUUACUUAUUCAAGGGCAAUAAGUAUGGUAUCAUAGAGUAUGAUUCCAAGCAGCUUGUUGGCACCAUUAGUAACAUCACUGAUGGGUUUCCUGUUCUGAAAGGUACCAUCUUUGAAAAUGGAAUUGAUACGUGUUUCGCUUCUCAUAAAGAGAAUCAAGCUUAUCUUUUCAAGGGAGAAAACUAUAUACGGAUCAAUUUCACCCCAGGUACUACAGAUGACACUCUUGUGGAUGUUGUGAAGCCCAUCCUUAAUGGUUGGCCAAUUCUUAGAGACAUUCUGCCUCUCGACAAUAAAGGAGUUGAUGCCAAUUCUCAGACUGAUCAUCAACAACAAUAUCCUCAACAACAUGAUGACCAUGAUGAGCUUUAAAGAAAAAAGAACAAGAUGUCAUAAUAUGAUAAGAAUAAGGCUUUCAUUGCCAAAGUUUGUUUCCUUUUCUUUCCUAAUGUAAUGUAAUAAGUGUGAUGCUAGUGUUUACUUGUAUUUGGAUAUUUGCUUUCCUUUCUUCAUGUAAUAUUAAUGGUUUAAUAAUAAAAGUGUGCUUUUUGGUUGAAUAAAUGAUUCUAAUUUUUUUUCCUUUAAAAAAUUUACGGAGAUGUUUAUAGGUUGAUUUGAUUCCAGUGUAUUUUUUAAAGGCUAUGAUACGUAAAUCCAAGUAAAAAUGAUAUAAAGAAGAAAAGAAAAAUAAAUCCAAGAAAAUCAUUGAAGACUAUGUGAAUUCCACGAAGGACUAAUAAUAAAAAAAAUGUGGAUAUACGUGUUUCACUAAUACAAAAUAAAGACGACAACUUUAACCAUUGUCUAAAUUAAGAAAAAAAAAUAACGACAAUCUAACGGAUUGAAAAUCAUCACACUGAAAUUCUAAAAUUAGUUAUCUAAAAAUCUUUGUCUCAAUGCAAUCAUACAUUUUUUUUUUCAUGGCAAAGAAAAUAAAUAUUAAAUUAAUUACUAUGAUAUUAUGUAGAACUAUUAUCGAAUAAAACGCAUGCAAAAUUGGGUUAUUUCACUUUUUUUUAUACAAACAUUCUACUUCACAUAUUUUUUCAAUCGUUUGGUGUUCUUGUUCAUACAAACCAUAUCCCAGAGACCACACGUCAAAACAAUUAAACCAUAUCCCAAAGACCACACAAAAACAUAUGAAUUUCUAUUAACAUUAAUUUUGAUAACUAUGAUGUUGAUACAAACCGUAUCAAGGUGACAACUGUACCAAAACUAAUUGCAGGUCCCAAACAAACACAACACGUGAAAAAAUACCAGCAACGGUGUGGAUUCUUUAACACAUAUAUAAAAACUGUAAUAAAUUUCUUAAGAAUACAUCGUUACGAUAAAAUUAUGUUUUCAACUUUUUAUUUAAUUUUUUUAAAAUCAAUUUUAUACUUUCUAUUUCAAUUUUUUUAUUAAUAUAAAGUAUACACACACAAAAAUAAUAAAUAUCAUUAUAAAAUAAAUUAAAAAAAUAAAUCACUUUCGUGUUUAUCAAAAACAACUUCUCACUUCUCUCUCACCUUAUAAGUUACAAUAUUAACGUAUCUCAAGUCUGACUCUCUUCUCUUAUUUUCUUUUCUAAAGGAGACACAACAUUCCAUUUUCACUUUUUUUUCUCUUUCUCUUUACUUCUCUCUUUUUUUUAUGGUACUCUCAUUCUCAAUUUUUUUCAAUUUUUUCUGAUUUUGUUCCAAUUGUUCCAUCUUCUUUACAUGUGUUUCUGUAUAUAGUUUUGUAUUGGUUUACAAGCACGUGAAGUUUGGUCCCUUGGUUGAAUUAAAACGAGUGACUCUUUGUCCAACAUGUUCUCUUCUCCAAUUUCUCUUUGUCCAAGUAUUUUUGUUUUAGGUUACCUCUAACCCCACCCUUUAACCUUAUCUAGAAGUAAGACGAAGGACACAUUUUUCACUUGCUUUACUUUAAGCUAGAAAUAAGUGUAUUAAUGGUAGUUUCCAAUAACAAUAGCAAAGAAGUUCCACUCCAUGAUAGUAUAAAUAGGUGUCUCUCAUAGGAAUCUAACCAUCCUCAAAUCAAAUCAUAUCCCUUUGUAAAGUUUGUUAAGAAAAUGUCAAUCUCUCCACCAAAUGAUCCAUCCAGAGGUUGCUCAUCAGAAUUCUCACAGCCUCUACAGCUACAAGAUUUGGUUGACGCUCAAGAAUUAUUGGAAAAUGUGAACCGUGUGAACGUUGUUGAAGGAAACUUGAGAGGAAUUGAGUACAGGAUAGGUGAUCAAGAAUUAGAUAUUCGUCGCCCUGUGUUUCGUUGGGACACAAGGCCCUAUCAGGACCUCUUUGUAAAUGGCUUCCAAGCAUGGCCUGAGGGACAAACUCCCAACUCCACUUACUAUAAUUUGCUUCACUUCAUUGAACAUGCAGGUGCCCCUCUUGAUCCAAACCCGUCUUCAACUACAAGACAUGUCUUUGUGAGUACCACUCUCAACAAUGCUUGGCAACCAAGACCUUCAACUGCAGUCCUCCCACCCGGCUCUCGUAUUCAAUUUUAUCGUUAUGAAAUUUAUGCUCCUGGUGGUAUUUGGGUUGCUGUCACCCUUGGAGAUCGAUACCAAUAUGUUUCUCAAGCUGAAGUUUGCUUUGUUGGAGGUAUUGCACCUCAGUACAUUCGAGCUUGUCUCAUAUUCACAGCAACACGUGAAGUCGGAUCAAGGUUGGAUUACAUCUCAUGUUAUAUUAUUUUUAUAAUCAUCUUAUAUCAUCCAUCACUAACUACAAGCUAUUAUAUUGUGCAGAUUUCCGAGAUUACAGAGAGAAAUAAGAUUGGUGAUAAACAGGAAUUUUAAUCCAAUGUCAUCUCCUUACGCUGAAGUUGUAGUUUAUAUUCCGGUGUACUGGUACACAGAUGAAAACGGUAAAAACAGAUACCUACCCGAAGAAAUUUAUCCGCCUAUGAGAAAGAAAAGAGAGACCUUGGAUGCUGAUGAGGAUGCUGCUCUUAAGUGGUAUACUAGUUCAGUUUUAGAGAUACCAAGUUAUAUAAAUUCUGCAUUGCGUUCAUCAAGAACAAAUGAAGUUUAUUUCUUCUUAAAAAAUAAGUAUGUGCGGGUGUAUUACACUCCUGGAGAGACAGGUGAUAAGAUUUUGACUGAUUUGCGUUGGAUUUAUGAUGGCUUUCCAUCACUUGUUGAUACGCCAUUUGGAGAAUAUGGAAUAGACUGUGCUUUCGACACUGAAGGCAACGAAGCAUACAUCUUCUGUACCAAACUUUGUGCCUACAUGGACUAUGCUCCAGGUACAACAAAUGACAAGAUUCUCUCAGGUCCUACCACAAUAACUGAAAUGUUUCCCGUCCUAAAAAACACAGUGUUUGAGAAUGGCAUAGACUCUGCAUUCAGGUCAACCCAAGGAAAAGAAGUUUACUUAUUCAAGGGCAAUAAGUAUGGUCGCAUAAAGUAUGAUUCCAAGCAGCUUGUUGGCACCAUUCGUAACAUCACUGAUGGAUUUCCUGUUUUGAAAGGUACCAUCUUUGAAAAUGGAAUUGAUGCGUGUUUCGCUUCUCACAAGGAGAAUCAAGCUUAUCUUUUCAAGGGAGAAAACUAUGUACGAAUCAUCUUCACCCCAGGUACUGCAGAUGACACUCUUGUGGGUAAUGUGAGGCCUAUCUUUGAUGGUUGGCCGCUUCUUAAAGGCAUUCUACCUCUCGACAAUAGAGGAGUUGAUGCUCAUCCUCAGUCUGGUCAGGAAAAACCAUAUCCCGAUCAGCAUGAUGAGCUUUGAAAAAAAAAAGAACAAGAUGCCAUAAUAUGAUAAGAAUAAGGCUUUCAUUGCCAAAGUUUGCUUCCUUUUCUUUCCUAAUGUAAUAAGUAUGGAUGCUUGUGUUUACUUUCUUGUAUGUGGAUAUAUGCUUUCCUUUCUUCUUGUAAUGCUAAUGGUUUAAUAAUAAAAGUGUGCUUUUUGGUUGAAUAAAUGAUUCUAAAUUUUUUCCUUUAAAAAAAUUACGGAGAUGUUUAUAGGUUCAUUUGAUUCCAGUGUAUGUUUUAAAGGCUAUGAUACGUAAACCCAAGUAAAAUGAUGUGAAGAAGAAAAAAAAAAAAUCUAAGAAAAUCAUUGAGGACUAUGUGAAUUCCAUAAAGUAUAAUCUAUUUUUUUUAUUAACAAUAAAUAAAUAUAUUAAAAAAUAUUUUAGAAGUAUCAUAACCCUUAUAAAAAUAUCAACAACCUCAUCAUCUUGUUUACGAAUUUGAAAAAACAUUACAAAUAUCAAUAAUAAAGUAAACAAAACCAAUACAUAUUCUUUUUUAGUCAUGACAAAGAAAAUAAAUAUUAAAUUAAUUAUUAAGAUAUUUAUGUAGGACUAUUAUCGAAUAAAAGGGAUGCAAAAUUGGGUUAUUCCAUUUUUUUAUAUACAAACAUUCUACUUCACAUAUUUUUUCAAUCGUUUAGUGUUCUUGUUCACACAAACAAUAUCCUAAGGACCACACAUCACAACAUAUGAAUUUCCAUUAACUUAACAUUAAUUUUGAUAAAUAUAUGAUGUUCAUACAAACCAUAUCAAUGUAACAACUGUACCAAAAUUGAUUGCAGGUCCCAAACAAAUACAACACGUGAAAAAAUACCACUAGCAGUGUGGAUUCUUUAGCAGAUAUAUACGUAUAUAUAUACACUGCAAUAAUUUUCUUAAAAAUACAUCGUUAAGAUAAAAUUCUGUUUUCAAUUUUUUAUUAAUAUAAAGUAUACACACAAAAUAAAAUAAUAAAUACCAUUAUAAAAUAAAUAAAUAAAUAUUGAAAGAUAAAAGUUAGAAAUGUCUGAAUUCGAAAAUGAAAAGAAAUAGAAAACAGAAAACGUAUUGAAUUUGAUAGCUUAUCCGAGGACCACACGUUACAUGAUUAUCUUUUUGUAAUUUCUAUAAUUUCAUUUUAUCUUUUUAACGUAUUUCACAAUUUGUUUAAUAAUUAUAAUAAAUAAUUAUAAAAUUGAAAGAAUUAAUGUUAUGGCAACAUCAUAUAUUUAUCAAAAUUAAUGUUUAAGUUAAUGGAAAUUCAUAUGCUGUGAUGUGUUGUAACGACUUUAUAAUAUGUGAAGUAGAAUGUUUGGGACCAGUCCUCUAUCUGGUUUGUAUGAAAAAAGAGAGUAAAAUAACCCAAUUUUGCAUGCAUUUUAUUCGAUCAUAAUCCUACUUAAAUAUCUUAUCUUUCAUCAUAAAUAAUCCUACAUAAUUAUAUUCAACUCUUAUUUUUCAAUAUUUCUUACAUUAAGUAAGACAAUUUAAACUAUAAAUUCUAGAGUUGAUAAUUAAACUUUUGAUAAUUAAUUAUAUAUCAAUUUUAAAAUAUUUACCAAACAAAUUGAAUUGUAUAUCUUGUCCUAUAUAAAAUUUAGAGGUUUCUCAAUUGUAUUUUUCCUUUAAUUGUAGUUUGGACACUAUAUCAGCUGCUUAUUAACACUAGCUCCAACUUUUGAUCACCAAAUCCGAAUCAUAACGCGGAGCUGAGUGUCAUGGAAUACGAAUUGCAAUAAAGAACUACCACCAUGUUGGAAAUCUCACAUCGACUAGAGAUAAAGACAUUUCAUAAUAUAUAAAUGGGUGCAAAUCUCACUCCUUCAUUGAGCCGGUUUUAUGAGGUUGAGUUAGGCUUAAAACCCACUUCUUAACAUGGUAUCAGAGCCAUUUCGAACCUAUCCUAUCCUAACGAGUAUUUGUUGGGUUUAUCUGUCCACCCGCUAUCGGGCCGUUACCAGACCACCCAUAACAUAUAUCUCCACGCACGAGUUGGUAGCCUCGGCGUGAGGGGUGGGUUGGAAAUCCCAUAUCGACUAGAUAUAAAGACAUUUCAUAAUAUAUAAAUGGAUGCAAACCUCACUUCCAUGAGCCGGUUUUAUGGAGUUGAGUUAGGCUUAAAGCCCACUUCUUAACACACCAAACCAGAAUAGUUGCACCAUAAACUGACAUUGACUGACAACACCCCUUUGCACCAUCCAGAACAGCAUAGGAUACUUGAAAGGAGCACUAAACCAGACCAUAAACAACACCCCUUUACACAUACCUUCUUUUUAUGCAUAAAAUGGGAUUCAAAUGCCAUUCCGAAUAAGAAAAAGUGAAAGAAACCUUUAUUUCAACCAUAACGAGGAUCUCAGCUGUGCCAUUUGGAAUAUUUCUUCUGCAUCAGAUACUUCUUAGCCACCCAUACACCUUUCCACACUAUAUUCUCUGCUUAGUGCUCAAGUGAAUAAGGCAGAUACUAUGAGUGGAAAUUUCAAGUUUGUUCAUGUUGUGGUAAAUCAAUUGCUAGAAUAUAAUUAUUUCUUUUAAUUUUUUUGUUGCUUGAAUAACUUAAGCCUCAUUUCUUUUCUUCUCAGGAAUCUGAAAUUAAAGAAAUAGAAGAGAAGCAGGUAUAGUCAAUUUGAUUUAGGUCACUACUGCAUAAUUUGAUUUUUUGUGUUAUUAUGCUUUAUCUGUGAUUUACUAGCAGAUAUAUGUGUGUAUAUAUAGAAACUGCAAUAAAUUUCUUAGAAAUACAAGUUAAGAUAAAAUUAUGUUUUCAACUUUCUCUGUUUUUAAUAGUUAUUAAAUUUAGUAUUAGCGUAAUCAAUGCUAAACUUAACUUUUUUUAAUAUUUGUAUUUAAUUUAAAUCAGUAUCGGUUAACGUUAAUAUUAUUUAUUGUUAAUAUUUAUUUAAAUUAACAUAAUCUAACUGAAGUUACUCUAACAUUUUAAUAUUUAUAUAAAAAUUUGAAUCGACUGAUACGAUGUGUGAUUUUAUGCAGGUUUUGUACUGUUGUCUUGUGAGUAUCGUUUCUGUGCUGGUAUGGUUGAGAAGGGAUUGCUUCUUUUUGCAGGUUCUACAAGUGGAGAAAGUAAGAGAGAAAUAAUGAGGCAAGAAAGCAAAGCACAUCAAUGAACAAGAUUGGAACAUAUGAAUCAAUGAUGACAAGAAGUGCUUAGCAGAUUAGUUUAAAAUACACACAUAUCUGUUAAACCAAACCACACAACCACACACUUUUUAUUUAUAAUAUGAAAAUAGGAAAGACAAACAUGCAGAGUUGCUACAUUAGGAAAAGGAAAGAGGCUUUCAAUCCUAAUGUUACAUUAAAGAGACAGAAACAAACGUUUGCAAUGACAGCCUUAUUUCUAGCAUAUUAUCAGAUCAUGCUUUUUGAUGGAGAGUGAAGCCUUCUUUAGCUGAUAGGCAAAAUGCCUCUAAGACAUGUCCAACCAUCAAGGAUAGGCCUCACUUCACCCACAAUACGGUCACCACUUGUACCUGGAGUGAAUUUGAUACGAACAUAUUUCUCUCCUUUGAAAAGGUAAGCUUCAGACUCCUUAUGGGAACAAAAACACGCAUCAAUUCCACUUUCAAAGAUCGUACCUCUCAGAAUAGUAAACCCAUCAGCGAUGUUACGAAUGCUGCCAAUAAGCUGCUUGGAAUCAUAGUCUAUGCGAGUAUACUUAUUGCCCUUGAAUAAGUAAACCUCUUUCCCUUUGGUUGAUCUGAAUGCAGAGUCUAUGCCAUUCUCAAACACUGUGUUUGAGGACGGGAAACAUUUGAGCAAUUGUGGUAGGACCUGAGAGAAUCUUGUCAUUUGUUGUGCCUGGAGCAUAGUCUAUGUAGACACAGUAUUUGGUUGAGAACACAUAUGCUUUACUCUCUUCGGUGUCAAAGGAACAGUCUAUUCCAGGUUCUGCAAAGAACGAUGCAGUAAGUGAUGGAAAACCACUACUAAUCAAACGCAGAUUAGUCAAAAUCUUAUCAUCUGAUUUUCCUGGAGUGUAAUACAGCCGCACAUACUUAUCCUUCAUGAAGAAAUAGACUUCAUAUUCUCUUGAUGAACGAAAUGCAGCAUUGAUGUAAGCCAUCUUUCUUAACACAAGAGAGAGAUAUAUGAUUUGAUUUGAGGAUGCUUACAUUCCUCCCAGAGGCACCUAUUUAUACUGUUAUGGAGUUGGAACUUCUUUACUAUUGGUAAUGGAAAGGAAAUCAUAAAGAUUCUAUGACAACAUAAAAAAAUAUAAAAAAAAGAAUUCGCAUUAUUGGUGCAGCAUGUCCUCUCUGUUUUUUUAUUCUCUUAUUUAUGCAUGUGCUGUUUGCCAUUAAACAUAAACAAAUGUUACUAUCAUAGAAUAUUUACACUGUUACCUCAGUUUCAAUACAUAGAUUACUGUGUUAUUUAAACCAUGUGCUGUUUGUAUAAACUCGAUAAGUUUAGCACUAUCAUAGGAUAUUUUGAUUUGCAAUAUAUAAAUAUAUAUGUUAAUUUAAAAGAUGAGUGUUUAACAGACAAUUUAAAAUUACUUUAAAUGGUUAUAAAAUUAUAAAAGAGACUGGUAUACGUAAACUCAAUAAACAAUUCAAUUAUGUGUUCCAUUCCAUAUGAUAUCUUAAUUAAUUAAUGAUGUGUAAUCAAUUAUAUUCAUGAGAAUAAUAUUCUAAUAUGUGUUUUUAGGAGGCAAUAGUACAUAUUUUCACGUGGAUCAGAUAAUUUUGUUUAAUUGGUCGUGGAUCUCAAAACCUGAGCAAAGAACACAAACCACAAGGUGGCCUAUUACUUUAAAAUUAUUUGUAUGAAUAAUACUUCAUAAUUGACACGAGUAUUAAACAAAAUUAUUAAAUAAAAAACAAUUUUAAAGAUUAAAAUAAUUAAUUAAUUGAUUAAAUUAGAAACUAUUUUAUAAAUUAAAAACGUUAAUAUUUAAAAUAAUUUUUAUUAUCAAUAAAAAAAUAUAAUUUAAAAAAAAAAACUGAUAUCUAAUUAUUAAUUAUUAAAAUUUUAACAUAUUUUAAAUUAAUUAUUUUUAGUGUUUUAAAAAUUAAUUUAUAAUUUAAAUUAUUUCUUAGUAAAUAAAAUCUUCAUAACUAAUUUAAAUACUAGUUUAUAAAAUUUUAUUAAUAAAAAACACUUUAUAUAUUAAUAACUUUUUAUUUCUAAAAUAAUAUAUAAUUUAAAGUUAAUACAAUUUUUAUAUUUAAAUUUAAAUAUUAUUUAAUAAUCUUUUAGUGUGAUAUGCAGGCAUAAGUCCAUUUUAUAUAUAUUUUUAUCCUAUAUUAUAUUUGCAUAACAUAAAUGUCAUCAAAGUAUAACAUUUAUGAUACUAAUUAAUACUCUCGUAGUUAUAAACAGCCUCGUAAAAAAGAGAAAGAACAAAAUUCUCUGUUUAAAAACAAAUAUAAUAGUUACAAAUGAUAUUGUUUAAUUGUUUCCUAUAUCUAAGAACAUAGUUUUUUUUCCAAUUUUAGUAAUUAUUUUACUAAAAUUAUCAUAGUAAAAAAUAUCAAUUAGAAUUAGCUUCUAAAUAAUAGCAUAAAAAAUGUAACAUUAUUAAAACCCACUAAGUAAACUUUAACAUGAUCUAAAAGAUUAACUUUUUUUGUGUAAAAAUGUAAAAUUAUUUUUAAAUAUAUUGUUUUGUGUUAAAAAUGUAAAAUUAUUUUUAAAUAUAAUUUUAUAUUAUGUAAAGUGUGUGUAUUGGUUAAGUUGAUGCUUAAUAUGAUAAUAUAGUCAACCUAACUAAUUAUGAGUUGAGGUUAAUUUUUUAAAAUUUGUAAAAAUAUUUUUGUUAAUGUCAAAUUAGUAAUAAAUUAAUUAACAUUCACUCAAAUAAAUAUUAAAAACAAAUUAAUAUUAAAAAUGUAUUUAAUUUAAUAUCGGUUAAAUUAACAUUAAAUUAAAUAACUUUUAUAAAGUAAAAAACAGAUGGACGUCAAUUUAGCUAACAUUAAACUAUUUUAAUUAAAAAUUAAUUUAAAAAUGAAUGUUAGAGUUUACUUAACUAGCACUAAUUAGAAUUGUAAAACUUGACACUAAUGAACUAGUAUUCAUAGUUUUAGAGCCUGUUACAUAUAUAAUAUAAAUUUAUCACUAUUAAUUAAUUAAUCCUAAUUUUUACUUGUUAGAAUCGAUUUUUAGUGAAGUUAAAUUUAUAUUUUCUUAUAGUGAUUUGAGUUAUAUAUAAAAAAAAUGAAAUCAACUUCUUCAAUUAGAUAUAUUUUGGGGUUUGAAUUUUAACAAACAUUAUAUUUUCUAAUUUGGUAUAAAGUGUGUUUAGUUUAGGAUGUAUCUUGAAAUUUUUGUAGGUGAAUUUAUGAUAUAAUAAUUAUGAACUUUUAAUUUUAUUUUUAAUCUAACAAUAAAUCUCAUGGCUUCUUUAUUCAGGAUUGCAAGUUAUAUUACAAAGAGUACUUUAUUUUUCAAGAUUGUAAGUUAUGUCACAAAGUAAUAAAUACAUGCUUAUGUAGACUAGCCUUAAGGAAAUGGAAAGUUAGGUCUCAUUCCUUCCAAACAAGACUCAUACAAGAAUACGAAAUGGUUAAAUCUGGUUUAGGAUUUAGGGUUUAGGAUUUAGAGAAAUGGUUAAGUCUGGUUUGAUUAGUACUCAUGAUUUUCCAAUAAAGAUCCUAGUUAGUGCAAACUAAUCUAAGUAUCCAAACUACAUAUGUUCAAUUUCUAUAUUUUUUUUUUAAAUCCAUCAAAAUUCAAUCCAGAUGUAAUAAAAUAGAUUGAAUCUAAAAUCCAUAUUAUUUUUGGUAGAGUAAAUUUAUUUGGAUUUUUCAAAUCCAUUUAAAACACACUAAAUUUAGAUCUACUUUGUCAAUUAGAUUAAAUUUUUUAUGAGAUCGACCUGGCGUGGUCAACUCAAUCCAACCUUGGUAGACUUGACUCGACCUACCUUAGGUCGACUCAGCUUGACAUAACCUAACCCAACUCAAUUCGACCUGGCCCCAUAUCGACUUGGCUUAGCCUGGUCCAAGCUGAUUAAGCUCGAAUCGGGCCCAAGCCGACUCGGAUCGACCUAGAUCUGACUUGACUUGGCUCGAGUUGGGCCAAACGUGUUGACCUGAACUCAGGCCGACUCGACUCGACCUUGAAUCGCACCGACUUGGCUUUUCCUAAACCUGGGCCAACUCAGCUCGACCUGGAUCUGGGUUGACUUGGCUCAACUUGGCCUCGGGUCGACUUGGCACGACAUGGAACAUGUUCGACUAGCCUCGAACUAGGCCUAUGCCCAGGCUGACUUGGAACUAGGUUGAUUUAGCUAGACUUGGGCUUGGGCAGACUCAACUCGACAUGGGACCAUACAAACUUGACUCGACCUGGGCCUGAACCGACUUGGCUCAAACCUGGAUUUGGGCAAACUCGGCUCGUCAUGGGGCCUAAGCCGACUCAUCUUGAAAUGGGUUCAAGUUGACUCGACUUGACCUGGUACCAAGACAACUUGGCUCGACUUGAUCCCAGAAUGACUCUGCUCUACAUAAGCCCAUGCUGACUCAACUCGACAUGGGGUCAUGUUGACUCAGCUCAACUUGGUACUAGGUCGAUUCAAGUUGACUUGGGCCUGAACCAACUCGGUUGAUAGAGGCUCGACUCGACUUGACUCAACAUGGGCCAAGACUAACUUGGCUCGACUUGGGCCUAAACAGACUCGGAUGGACAUGUGUUCGAAUCGACUCGACUCCACCAGGACCUAAGUUGACUCAACUGGACCUGGACCUGGACCUGGACCUGGGUCGAAUCAACUGCACUGGGUCAGAUAGGCUUUACCUCAACAUGCAUUGACUCUACUCCACAUGGGCAUGAACCCACCCAUCUCUAUCUGGGUCCAUGCCAUCUCAGCUCGACAUGGGUACGGGUUGACUCGACUCGAUUCAGGCUGGGGUUGAGACAGCUCGACUCGGGCCCGGAUCGACUCGGCUAGACCUGGUCCCGUGUCAUGUUGGCUCGACUUAGACUGGAUCGAUUUGACUCGAUCUAGACCAAAGUCGACUUGACUCUCAAAUCAACUUAGCUCGACUUGAGUCCUGGUUUACUACUCAACCUAGGUUCGAAAUGACUCAAAAUCCAUCACAAAAAUCAUUUUGGAUAAUUAAAAAUGUAUUCAAUGUAUAUCUAAUACAAAUCUAUUUAAAUGAAUUGAAUUUAAAUCCAAAAAAUAUAUUUGAAUUUAAAAUCUAAAAAAUAAUUUUGGAUUUAAAAUAAAUAUAUUUAAAUGGACCUAUAAAAAAUAUUUUUUUUGAAUAAUUAUGAAUUACAAUUUAAAUUUUUUACUCACCCUAAAUUAUAAAAAGUAUUUAAAAAUAUGUUUUUAAUUUCCUUUUCUAUUUUUUCUUGUAUAUUUUUCUAUGUAUCUUUUUAUAUAGCAUUAAAAUUGUAUUUUAAAUUAUUUUUCUAUUUAUUUUAGCCAUGUAAUAUCUGUCGUAGUGAGAUAGGUAGUGAAAAAAUGAUUUUAAAGAGAUAAGUACUUUAUAAAAGAACGGUUUUAAAGUGAGGUAAAAUAGUGAAUGGUUAUACAAUUAUACAACAAAUUGGUACAUUGAAUAUUAAAUAACAACUUAUGCGUUUUACAUUGGAUGCACUAAUAUAUUCACUAAGUACAAGAAAAUAGAUUUAGUUCAUAUGGUAAAAAAAGAUUAUGAGAUAUUAUGAUAUACUAGAAUUUAGUUUAUGAACACAUGACUAUCUCUAAUAUGGUAAAAAAAGAUUAUGAGAUAUUAUGAUAUACUAGAAUUUAGUUUAUGAACACAUGACUAUCUCUAAUAACCGAUGGCAUGGAUUAACGUUAUAUUAUAGAUAUUUUUACUUAUAUUUAAUAAAUAAAUAUUAAUCAAUAUCUUUUAAUAAAACUUAUCAAUAAUAUUGAUAAAUCUAAAAUUUAUUGUAAUAAUAGCAUAAAAAAACAUAAAUUCUAACUUAAAAAACAUGGUGAUAAAUCUAAAAUUUAUUGUAAUAAUAGCAUAAAAAAACAUAAAUUCUAACUUAAAAAACAUGGUGAUGGAUUAUUCAAGAAGUUUAUAAACGUCUCUUCCAAAAUUAAAUUAGUAGAUCUAGGAGUUUUGUAAUACACUAUAAAUAAGAUAAUUAAAUGAAAAUUCAAUGAAGGAAUCAUUUAAACAAUAUGAAAACAUACAUAUCAUUUUCUACUACCAUGUCAUGCAAAUGACAUGAACAUUUAACCAACAAUUGAAUUUAUUUAAUCAAAUAUUUAAACUUGGUUAACUGCUAUUUUUUUUUUUCACAUGCACAAAAUUGUUACUUCACGUAUGUAAUAGUUGGGUUAGUCAUAAUUAUUGAAAUUUCACAAAGCCUACCUAGGAUAAUGUUUGAAUGUGUUGCAUGAUUUAACCAGAAACACGUACUAGUUUAAUCAAAGUAUUUUAUUCUACACAAAAAUAAUAAAUAAAUUUCAUAAUCUCACUAUAACCAUGUCUACAAUAACAAGAAACAUAAAUAAAAAAGCUUUAAUCAAAGAUAAAUUAAAAAGUAAUCACUAUAACCAUGUCCACAAUUAAAAAUAUAAAGAAUUUCAACUUAUUUCUUUAUAAUUAAAAUUUAACUGUAUUUAAUUAAAAAAAUCCAAUUAAUCUCAUAAAAAUCUAAAAUUUAAAAUUUACUAAAAAAAUUCUGACCCUAAAAACCAAACAAGAUAUUUUUGGAUAGUUAUUUUAAAUUUUUAGAAAAAUAAAUUACCAACUUAAAAAUUUCUAUCAAAAAGAGACUAGUAAGGUUUGUUCAGUUAAAAACUUUUUGGGGUUUUGAAAAUAAGAAUAAAAUUUCAUUGGAACUUUAAUUAAUUAGUUAUGUUAAGAAUUUAAUUUAUAGCACCCUCGCAAAUUUGAUGAUUGUGAUAAUCUUCAGAGUUUAAUAUGAUGGUUCCAAAAAAGUUGAAAUCUAUUUUACUUAUUGUUAUAUACACUUGACAAUCAAUUUCAAGAUUUAAUAUGGUAAUUAGAAAAUUUUCAAGUUUAUUUUUUUAUAUUGAAGUUUCAUUACAAGUAUCCACAAUUAUGAAAACAACUCUUAAAGUCUAAUUUCUUAGUUAAGAAAAGCUGAAGUCUCUUUUUUACUUAUAUAUUACAUGAAAGAGAUUUUAAUUAAUCUUACAAUUAUAAUUAAUAUGCUGUAAAAUAUUUUCAAAAACUAUAAAGUUUACAUACAUACAUAACUUUCUUAAAAUUCAAAUAAAAUAUAAAUAUUUAAUUUAAAUAAAUUCUUGCACGAAUUUAAAUCUAGUAAAUUGUGAACAUAUAUUUUUACUAAUUCGAUUUUAAAAAUAUAGAUAAUAAUUAUAAAAUCUAGUAAAUUAUGGGCCUUAAAAUUUUAAAGAGUCUUACGGGCCUCCACCAGAACCCAUUUUUGUUUUUUUCUAAAUUACGACACAAAAGUUUGGGGUUUUGGCCCAUUCAUCACAGCCCAUGUUCCUUUCUUUAUAAUUGCAUAACAUUGGGGGUGCAGGAAUAGAAAACGUAGGGCUGCAGGAAGAAAUUAUCUCUUUAACCACACAAACGUAUGUGCUUUUGGCCCAUUUAUCACAGCACAUGUUCCUUUCUUUAUAAUUGCAAUUUCAACAAAACCCUAACUUCAAACCUUCACUCCUCCUUUCAUCACUUCGGCAGUCACAGAACCUCUUAGCCGAAAAUGGUGAGUUUCACCAACCCUUUUACAUUUUCUAUCUACCUUACGAUUUUUCUGCAUCUGGGUUUUCUGGUUUUAAUGAAAAAAUUGUUUCUUUGUUUUCUUUUCUGAUCUGUGUUGCAGCCUUUCAAGAGGUACGUUGAGAUUGGAAGGGUGGCUCAGGUCAACUACGGCAAAGAGUAUGGGAGGCUAGUAGUCAUUGUCGAUGUUAUUGACCAGAACAGAGUAUGUUCUUUUGUUUUGCCUUCUUUGAUUUGUUGCAUUUUCGUUGGAUUGGAUUUUUGUAGUGCGUGCCCUAUUCUUUGUCUUGGUUUCUUGUGAGGUUUGGGAGUAGAAAAAGCCUAAUUUAUGAUCUUGGUGUUGAUAAAUUUCUACAUGAAUUUCGUUGCCGCAUAAUUUGUUCUGAACAGUAGUUUUAGGUUUUAGAUUUUUUAUUUUGUUGAGGAUGUUGGUUUUGCUUAGUUUUAUGUUAAUUGAAUCUCAAGGUUUUCUCUAUUUGUGCAUUAGAACAAUUUGAUAAUGCCAAAUUCCAUUGAAGGGGUUAUAGUCGUUUACCAUGUUUGUUUGAUGAUGGUUUGUUUUAUUUUUUUCUCUUUUGUGAAGCCUAUAUUUUUUUCCUCAUUGUAUUUAAACAGGGUCAUAUCCCUUUAGGCUUUGUUGUAUAUUUGUAUUUUUUCAGCAUGAACUAAAUUUGGCUCUUUUUAUCGAUUUGGUUUGUGGGAAUAUAUAAUAUCAAGUUCGUAUUAAGAGGAGUUAGAACUGUCAAUCCCACUGAGAACUUCAAUGAGCGGAUUUUGUUUUUCCUAUUUGGCGAAGUCAUUGGCUUUUUUAGAUGCAUUUUAAUUGAAUCAUAUAUGCUUUGUUUGUAUACUUGUGUUUUUGCUCGGUCAACAAAAUGAAAAAUUAUGCUAUUUUUUUUGGGGGUUUUGUUAUUAACGUGGCAUGCAAUAGAAUCAAAUUGCAUUAAGAUUUAGAGGUGUGCAAUUUUUUUAAGUUGAAUGUGGUUUUGGUUAUUUGACUUUGAGAUCAUUUAGCAUAAUUUUCUACCACCAUUUGUUGAUAGGCUCUUGUGGAUGCUCCCGACAUGGUGAGGUCCCAAGUGAACUUCAAGAGGCUGUCACUCACUGACAUCAAGAUUGAUAUCAAGAGGAUUCCAAAGAAGAAGGAUCUCAUCCAAGCCAUGGAUGCUGCUGGUUGGUACACGUUUUUUAGAAUAAAUUGUUAUUUAAUUUGAAGCAUUCCUUUUGUUGAUGGGUGUUUUUCCUUGCUGAACAGAUGUUAAGAACAGGUGGGAGAAGAGUUCAUGGGGAAGGAAACUGAUUGUGCAGAAGAGAAGAGCAUCUCUCAAUGACUUUGACAGGUUCAAGAUUAUGUUGGCAAAGAUCAAGGUUGGUUUCAUUCUACAUGACUAUUCUCACUGUUUCAAUUUUGGUAUUGCUCUUCUAAUAGUUUGUGAAUUGGCUUUUAUGCAUAGCAAAAUCCAAGUGUCUGUACUAUUGUGUUGUCAUAUCAUUUUGGCUUUGAAGUUAAUUUACAAUUUUUGUUUCAAUUUGUGCAGAGGGCAUCAGUUGUUAGGCAAGAGCUUGCUAAGCUGAAAAAGAGUGCUUAGGCAUAAUUCCAUGUGCAAUUUCCUAAUUUUGUUAUGAAUUUCUUUCAAUUUAGUUUACUUUGGUUACAUGGGUUUUAUUAUGUAUCAUUGACAGAUUUUCUAGAAAUUUUUAUUGAGAUCCUUUAUGUUACUAGUGGAUUGAUGCCUGUUUUCGUAAUCUCAUUGUUAUAAUAUGGGGUGCCUAUUUUUGCACUGUUCGAUUAUUGGUUUUUGACAUUAUUAAAAAUACCUUUUGCUACAAUGCAAAUGUUAUCAGAAAUUGUUUUUUAUUUUUCUCAUUAGGAUUUGAUCAUUUUUUUCUUUUGUUUUUUGUUUUAAAUUUUAAUAUUUCUGUUCCUUGGUAAUUGGUUGUUCACGGUUGUGGUGUAAAUGAUUCAAAAUUAUGUUUUUUACCAAAAUUGUAUCAAUUUUUAUCAAAUAGAGUAGCAUUUGCAAAAGUUUAGAUUUGGUUUUGAUUUCAAAAUUGUUUCAAUGUUGUUUCUCCUUAAUUGAAAACUAGUGUGUGAAUUUUACUUUUUAAGAAUAGUCAUUUGUUAAAGGGGUGGACAAGAAAUUAAUUUUAAUCCUACAGAUUCUUAAAGGUGUGAGAAAGAAUAGAAAAUUUAAAAUUCAAUUUGGAGGUUGUAAAUGUUUUGGGACUUCAUUUACGUUUCUUAAAUGAAUUACUAUAUUUUUGAACAAUUAUCAAAUGAAACGUUUAUGAUGUUAUUUAUUACAUUUUAAAUCACAUUAUGUCAAAAUUUAAUAUUUAUAUAUUUAUAAAUUAAAAGAAAAUAUAUUUGUUAUAUGUUUUUUUCGAAUUUUAUUUAUUUAUUUAAUUUAAAAUUUUCUAUAUAUAGUAAAAAUUAGGAACCUUCUCAUCAUUUACUUUUUUUGAAUUGAAAAAUCCUAAUUGGAUUAUUCAUAUAUACAAAAAUAUUAACUGAGUACAAUUAUGUCUAUUAAAUAGGCAGAGCAUCGAGUACAAGUGUUAAAUAAGCUAUAAUUUAAUAUGGUCCAACAUAGAUAUAAUGAUUCGGCUUUUUAAUCCGAAAAAAAUAUGAUUAUAUGAUUUUUUAUUUUAUGAAAUAAUAAUAUCAAGUAAAGACUUAAUGAUUUUUCGGAUUGAUUUAUUUUAUAAGCUUAAUUUCAUUGUUUAAUUUAUUCUUUAACAAUAAUACAUUUUAAUACUAAUUGUCAAUUUAUAUGAUAAAUUAAUAAUUGUUUGAAAAAAGAAAGUAAUAAUUGUUAUUAAUGAAAAAUAUUAGUAAUAAAUUAAUGAUUUUAAAUUGUUAUUUUUUUAUCACUAGACGACUCAGCUAGAUAAUAUUAGUAAUAAACCUAUAUAAUAUUGUGUUAUUUUUUAAUACUCAACUACUCAUUUUUUUUUCCAGAAUAUAUUACAUCGAAUAAAAUUAUUAUUUAGAUAAAAAAAAAAUUAAUCAUUAUAUUUAAUUAAAUUGAAUAUUAUUUUAUAUAAAAAACUACUAUUUAAAGUUAAUUUUACUAUUAAUAACAAUUUACAAAAUAAUUUUUAAACAUUAACAUUUUAGUUACUAACUACUUUAAAACUAAUAAUUUAAUUUAAACUUAAUUAGUAAUUAAAAUAUUGAUACUAAUAUUAAAUAUCAAUUUAAAAAUAAUUUUAUAAAUUUUUAUUAACAAUAAAAUUUAUUUUAAAUAUUUAAUAAUCUUUUAAUUUAUAAAAUAGCAUCUAAUAACACUGAUUCUUUUCUUUAAAUGGAAGAAAAUUUGAAAAAAAAUAUGGUGCUAAACAAAAUUGAAUAUGCAAGUUUCACUAAAUGAAAUUAUGUGGGGAUGAACUAAAUAAUUAACUCGAAAAAACAAAUAAUUGAAAUGGUUGCACCUAUAAUCAUGAUUGAAAAAGGACACGUAAAUGGCAUUAAAGUAUGCAAUAGGUAGAUAUUAAAGCAUAUUGAUGUCAGUUUCUGAAAAAAUAACACCCCAAUUCCACACCACUGUUUCUUACUUGUUUCAUAAAUACUAUUUAUUUAUAUUUUAUCCUUUCAUUUUUUUCUUUUUUCUUUAGGGUUCUAAGCUCUGUUAACUUCAUAACUUUGGCAAGAAUCAUGGCAUGAGGCAUGCAACAAGAAAAAAAUUAAAUUAAAUGUCUUAUACGUCUCUCUCUCAACUCAAUUUUAUAAGUAAUAAAAUGUAUAAAUUUGGUGGAUAAUUUUAAUCAAUUCAACCCACUUGUUUUUUUAGAGUCUUGUUUAGGAUACUGUUUAAAAGGUUUAAAAAAAAAAAUAGAAAUCAUAAAGAAUUUUUUUCGCCUAUACUAAGAAAAUGAUUGACAUUUUUGCUUUUAAGUUAUAUUUGAAUCUAAAAAAAUCAAGACAGAUAAACUACAUCUUGUCUUUGUCUUGAGGAUAACUAAGAAAACAAAAUUAUUUAAACUAGAAUCUAAAUUUUACUUAAUUUUAUUUAACGAACUUAUAAGAUAAAAUUUGUACUAUUUAUAUAUUAUGAAAUAAUUUAAUUUGUAGUUAAUAAAAAAUCUUUAACACAUUUUUUCACUUUAUAUGUUAAUAAGUUAAAACUAUUAACUGAAACUAUAUAUUAUUGAAUAGAACUAUAUAUUAAUGAAUCAUCCGAUAGUAAUUCAAUAUAUAGAAGGUAACAAUAAAAUUAACAAACUUUUUUUUUUUCAGAUGAGAUAUAUAAAAUUAAUAAUAAGUUUAAUUUAACUUUCAUCUCAAAUGUAUAGCUGAGGUUAAAACCAAGUUUUUAAUCUUAAAAUAACUUAUACUAAAAAAUUCUUAAAACAACUGAAUCUUUAAUUUUACUAAUAAAGACAUUUCAUACAUACUGUAUUCUCUUUAACUAAAACAACUUAAUCUAAUAUUAAUAUUUGUAGUUGUUGUUUUUAGUGUAAUUGAAUUCCUUGUUUUUUGUGCAGGACGGUUACUGCAUAUUCAAAACUUUCUCCUAACAGAUAAUAAAAACCAAUUAAUUUUUUGAAUAGAGCAGCUACUACUACCUUACACAACACCUCUAUUCAAUAUGCAACCACCCAGCCAAAAGAAUAAAUUGCCUCACAUCUUUUUUUCAUCUCAAAACAUUAACAAAUAUGGGAUUAAGAGAGUUUCAUAUAACCCUUAAGGUAUGUCCAUUCUUCAUUGUUCUAUUGAGGUUAUUUGAAGUUCAUCACAAAUAAUCAUUACCUUUACACAUUUUCUUGUAGCUAAGAACAAACCUUUAGAUAUAGUUACAUAUAUUUAAUGAAUCUUUCAUACUGCAAAUUAGUGAGAUGAAGCUCUAAUCUUGAUUGAAGAAACAAAACCAAAAGUACCUGAGUUUUGUUGUUUUGGUAAAUGCUUGUUCAUAUGAAUGAAUGGUAAUCUUUCCAUUGACUUGAACAGGCAUUUCGGGUGAAACGUUUUUUCUUUGGAAGAAGGAGAAAUAAAUGGAGUGCAAACAAGCCUUCAUGGAUGAUUCCAAUAUCACAUGGCCAUCAUGUGGUGGAGCAUCACGUGAUCAAAGGUGGUUCUGAUGACUCAGAGUUUGAUUCAGUUGUGAUACAGAGGGAACAGAUGGAUCACACAGAACUGUGGUAUUUUGGAAUUUUUGAUGCUGUAGUUGGAGAUGGAGUUACCAAGUAUGUGCAAUCCCAUUUCUUUGGCAAGAAGCUCAAAGAGGUGAGAAAUCAAUAUAAGUAAUAAUGCUCAUGAAUGGUUAUUAGUGGCAUAUAUUCUCAUUUAUCAAAUUUAGACAUUCAUUAUGAAAGAGAGGUAGAGAACAAAGCUUAAAAUUUCAAUUUGGCUUCAUAGAUUUUAUUACUCAAUUAUCAUUAUAUUAUACAUUUCCAGUAAAAUGUGUGGAAAAAAGCUGAUAGCUAUAUAUGCAAUUAAGCCAAAUAUCCACAAUACUUCACCUAAGGAUUAUUCUAAGAUGAUCAUCUAUAUUUCUGGCCUCUGGUGUGUUUGUGAUGUUUCAACUACAUGUUAGUGUCAUAUGAGGAGAAAGAGCAAAGAAACACUGAAGAGAGCUUACCUCGGUGUGAGAACAAAGAUCAGAGAGGCACUGAAGCCAGAGGAGGAGAUAUGCAGAAUAGGUUCAACAUCAGUGAUGGUGAUAAAUGGAGAAAAGCUUGUGAUAGCCAACAUGGGAGAUUACAGAACUGUUUUGUGCAGAGAUGGUGUUGCUUAUCAGACAACUGGCAGAUACAAUCAAUCAGCCAAGAGAAACUGGUACAACAAACUCUUCUCAGGUAUCAAUCACUCACAUAUUUUUUUCAUUAUCAUUUGAAAGAUCCAAUCAAGAACAUUUCAUUAUAUACAUGUGGAUGCAAACAUAAAUCACAUAAAUCUUAUAAACUGGUUUUAUGGGUUGAGUAAGGUUAAAGUAUACAUAUUAAUUUAUUUGUUUUUGUUCACAUAUCUCAUAAUGAAUGCUAUGCAUGUGCACAAAAGCACGCACGAUUGCUUGUGAAUCAGGCAACACAACAGGCACAAAGCAUUCUAAAGGCUCAGAACUUGUGGUGGGAGGUGAUAGAAUCGACUCUGAUACUGAAUUUUUGAUCCUAGCAAGCAAUGGCAUAUGGGAAGUAAGUCCUAGAAGAUUAGGUAACUCAUAACCAUAGUUGGUCACUAGAAAACAGUGGAUCAUGAAUCUCAAUAUGUGUUUGCAGGUGAUGAAGAACCAAGAGGCUGUGAAUCUCAUAAGACACAUAGAAGAUCCACAAGAAGCAGCUGAUUGCUUGGCAAAGGAAGCUUUGAUUAGGAUGAGCAGAAGCAAAAUUUCAUGCUUAGUCAUUCGCUUUGACUGAUAUGUCACCAUAGUUGGUUUAUCCUAGUUGCAGCAGUUGCAGCACUGUAGAGAGCACUUUAUGAGUUCAAUACACAACUAGAUUAUCAAGGUGUUUGCAGAUUCAUCAUCUCAAAACUCAAGAAAAAUGGGCCUAGUAAUGACCAAUGUGGUUGAUGAAAAAUUAAGUAUUUUUUUUUCUGUAAUUCAUAAGUGAUUUGCACUAAUGUUUACAGAUUUUUUUUAUAAGCUAAUUUGGUUUACAUUACUAUUUAAUUACUACUUUAAUGUAAUUUUAUUUAUAAUACAUAUUAUUUGACAUACACAAAAUAAAAUGAACCAACUCUAUUUUGAUACUUCAUCCUGAAUUAUUAUAAAAACCAGACAAACUUAUUAUACCCCUCCUAUAUAAAACUGAAACAACAAAUAAUAUGUAACUAUAACUAUAUUAUCAAAAUGUAAGUAUUGAAUAAAAAUAUAUUUACUUAUUAAUUCUUUUGGUAUAAUCCAAUAGAAAAUAAAUAUAUGAAAUGUCUCAAAGUAGUUUUGAGAUUAUGAGAUCCUUUACUGAAUAAGAUCAUCCAAAAUUAAAAUGUUACAAAUUAAAAACAGCGGAUCUAGUUCCUGCUAAAUUUCCCUAUGACUUACCCAGAAACUGAAACUGAAGUUGAGAAAAAAACAAGAGUUUAGAAUAAGAAUGACUUGUUCUUGCAUAUACGUUUAUUUUUAAACUUCACAAAUCAAUAGUAUUAAGUAUUAUAGCGAGAUUAUGGUGAGUGUGAUCAUGUGUAGUAAUGAAAAGUGUAAUAUGAUUGUAGCCCUUUUGUAUGCUCAUUUUUUGGUGUCUUGUGCAUACUUUAGGUAAUAUAUGCAUCAUUUUCUCUGUAUCCACUUUCAAGGCUUCAUUCGCUGCUCAUCACCAAACAAAGUUUAGUGUUAUAUCUUUGGUGUCUCUCAGAAUUUUUCUCCUUAGAUAUUUCAUUCUUUAUCAUUUAAGCUUCUGCAGUACCAUGUCCUUUAACAUAAUCCAGAAUAAUGAUUUAUCUGACAUUUCAGUUAUUGCAAGUGUGCUUCUUAAAUAUUUCUAUUUUGUACUUAAUCUGUUUUCAUUUUGAUUUGAUUACUUAAUCCUGCAACAUGCUAAAUAAACAUCUAUAAUGCCCUUGCUUCCUUCAAAUUUCAAGCUCUCCACUUGCUAAAUCUCAUUCUUUACCUCAAAAGAUUCACUAUCUCAUCUUCUCUUACUCUCUUUUCCUUCACUCAUGCUUUUAUGUAAUCAUAUUCUACUUAAAUUGUAGUAUUUGAAAAAAAAUUCUUUCUACCUCUCCAAAAACUAGUUAAUUUGUUUUAACUUUUUAAACAUUAAAAGAUAAUGCAGUUAUAGAAUAUGUAUGGUUAUUGAGACUUUUGCAAGAAAAAAUAGAGGCAACUUUACUAUAAUCAAUUGUAUUAAACCAAACCACCCACUUUUAUUUAUUAUUGUGUCAAAUUACAUGAAGAUAGGAAAGAAAGACAAGAAAGAAAACACAAACAUCAGACUUGUUACAUUGGGAGAGGAAUGAGGCUUCCAAUCCUAAUGUUACAUUAAAGAGACAGAAGUAAACUUUGGCAAUGAAAGCUUUAUUUGUAGCAUAUUAUGCGACCAUGUUUUGUGAUGAGACUAAGGUGGUUGAUGAUGAUGGUGAACCCUUCUUUAGCUGACAGGCAAAAUGCCUCUAAGACAUGUCCAACCAUCAAGGAUAGGCCUCACAUCACCCAGAAGAACGUCAUCAUAUGCAUCUGGGGUGAAUUUCAUACGCACAUACUCAUCUCCUUUGAAAAGGUAAGCUUCAGACUCUUC
This 72156-nucleotide long non-coding RNA is filed under the name Phaseolus vulgaris (common bean). Its description in RNAcentral is "long non-coding RNA (PVUL_LNC002447)". Lineage: Eukaryota; Viridiplantae; Streptophyta; Magnoliopsida; Fabales; Fabaceae. The record is from RNAcentral.